This 49214-nucleotide long non-coding RNA is filed under the name Cucumis sativus (cucumber). RNAcentral's name for it is "long non-coding RNA (CSAT_LNC001279)". Lineage: Eukaryota; Viridiplantae; Streptophyta; Magnoliopsida; Cucurbitales; Cucurbitaceae. The record is from RNAcentral.
AAGGUUUUUUUUUUUUUUUUUUUUUUUUUUUUUUUUUUUUUUUUUUUUUAUCUUUGUAUCCUAAAUUCGUCUUUUGGCUUCGUUUUUUUAGUCCACGCAACUUAUUUUGGACUCAUUUAAAUCUAUAUCUAAAUAUUAUGAACUAUCCGAAUCAAGGUAAUUUAUCUAAUUCAAUAGUCAUAAGAAAAUACACGUGUCAUCGUCACGAUCUAUCAAUUUAUUAUCAUCAAUAUUAAUAUGGAACACAUCUCACCUUAUGACCAGUUUUAAAAUUAGUAACUUGUAAUUUUGUCAUUUGAUUUGAAAAAUGAUGUAGUAGAGAUUGCAAUUUAAGAUGUCAAGAAAUCCUACAAUGCCUAUAAAAGAGAGGCAUUUAUAAAACUUUGAAUGCUCUUUUGCAACAUGAAAUCUUUUGAGAUGCUAGUGUACGAGCAUCAUUAAAUGUUAUCUUUGUUUCUUUACAUUUAUAUAUAUAUAUAUAUAUAUAUAUUGAAAUAGUGGUAAUUGUUUAAUAUUUUUAAGUAAUAUUUUUUUUUAAUAUGAACAACAAUCAAUACAAAAAAUAUAUAUAAUAUGUAUAUAUUUGCAUUACUCCCUAAGUUUCAUGAAAGAAGAUGAUAUAAAAUAGGUAAAUUUAGAAGUCCAUAAAAAAAAAAAAAAGCAUUAGGUUCUGUGUUGUUAAUGAAAUAUAUAAGAUAAAAAAGGUUUAUUAUUUUGGAAGAGGGAGGAAGGCAUUGAAGAAUGGAAAAGGCGAUGGUUAGUUAGGUAGUUGGACAUUUGGGGACCCACUAGAAAGGUAGAGGACAGUCAAAGUAUCCGCAAUUUUCGCUUCAGUCCCUUCCUCUUUAAUUUUUUACCUUUCUCGAGGCGCUCCUUCUAUUUCUCCAAUGGAGGGAAUUCCAAAUAUUUCUCUACAAAUAAAAAUCACUUCCUUAUACUAUCACUUUUAACCAUACUUAAAUUCUCCUUAUAUUCUUUGGUUCUACACUUAGAUUCAACAAUGUGAAUAAUAUAAAAGGUUUUAGAGAAUUCAUUUCUAGUUGGGAUCUUACUUUCUUUCUUCUUCUUUACUUUAGAUUUUCUCAACCUUAUUUCGUCUCUUUUCAGUUCUAUUAUUUAUUUUUAUUUUGUUAUUUUUCUAUUUAUCUAUGUAGUAGUGGUGGAAAGUUUUUUUUUCAGUAAGUGAUAACGGAGCAAUCGGUUCAUAAUUUUUUAAAAAUUUAAGUCUUCGAUUUCUAGUUGCAUGUAUUACUGUUUGAAUUUAAAUAAAAAAGACUUCUCAAAACCUGCCAUGAUAUUUUGAUUAGUGUGAGUUGCUCAUUAUUUGUGAUUUUGCUAGAAGUGAAACAUAUAUGUGAAGUUUUAUGAGUUCAAUCAAGUUUGAUGUAGAUAAAUUUUAUGGAAUGAUCAACUUUCACAUGUUCAAUUAAGAGACUAAAGGUGUUAAAACAAGUGUAAGCCAAUAUGUAAUUCUACCAAAGAUUUAAAAAAGAAAGUCUUUAUGCAUGUAAAUACAAACAAUCUUAUCAAAUGAAAAUUUGAGCUAGGUCAUUAAAAGACUGUAAAUUUGUUGUUGUCGUUAUCAUUCUCGUUAAGAAAAAUGUAGACUUCGAAUUCUUUUUAAGAAGGAAAAAUUCAUCCUUAUGGUAUGUACACUUUACCAUGAUAAAUUAAAGGAUGUAAUGCUAGUGGUUCCACAAAUUUGCACAUAUUCGUUAACUUGCCAAUUCUACAAGGUGUUUGGUAGAGGUGGUGUCGAUGGCUAAAAAUCUUUUGGGUGAUCUAGAAGUUUUAUUAAUUUUUUAAAAAACAUAGUGGUUUAUAUUUAAUACGUGACAAGAAAAAAAGUAUUUGAAAGGUGGUAUUCUAACUAAUCUACUCUUCCUUUAUGGUAAAAUGAAUUAUAAUUCUCUAAUCGAUAUAUAAUUGUUGGUGAAGACAAUUCAUAUAGCAUAUUGUGUUCCAAAAAUAUAUAUUAAAUAAUUAAAUUUUACGACUACAUACUAAUAAAAAAACAUACUUUCUUUUAAUAAGUCUUUUGAAAAUUAAUUUAUAGACUAGAAUGAUUAUAUUUUAUCGUGUAUAGUCAAACUAAAACAUUUUGAAUAUUUAUCAUAAACGGAUAAAAAAUACAUUUUCUUAAUAAAAUUAAAAAAAAAAAUAUUUUGCAUUCUUCAACUUUGAAAUUAUAUCAAUAUUGUAUUCCAUAAGUAAUAUUGAGAGAAGAAACUAUAUGAUUCCAAAGGUUUUGUAAGACUCAUUUUUGCAACAACUCUUCAAUUUCUAAACUUUCGUUCAAAUCAAUUUGCACGAGUUAUGAGUUAUGAAUGAUGCACUAGGGUAAAUGUUAGGUUCCCUAGUUUCACGAGGCCAUGUGCAAAUGUUUUUAAGUUCUUGUAAUGUUAAUUCUUUUUAUAUAUAAUUUUAAUAUUAUACAAUUUAGGUCUUGAAUUUUAAUAGAUAACAUUUGAGUCCAUAUUAUUAUCAAAUUUGACCAUGUAAUCCCUUCUUUAUAAAAUUUCAUCAAAAUUAAGUGUCAAUUUUAUCAUGUACAAUUUAAGUAUUCAUAGCUUGUAAACAUAUUUAGUUUCUAACUAUCCAUAUUGCUUUCCAUAAUAUAAUAUCUUUUAUUAAAUUAUAACAAUAUCUUUUUUAUGAUAUGAAGUAAACUGUUAGCAAGUUUAAAUUAUAAAAAAAAGAAAUUGUUGUACGUUAAAAUUUGUAUACUACAUUGUUAUAAUAAUAUAAGCACAUAAAUUAUUGAAUUAAAAAAAAAACGACCUACAUGUACUUAAUUGUUACUUUGGAAACAUAUAUACUAUAUACAAAAGUUCCUAACUAAUUUUAUAUUUUAGUUACAAAACUUUUACUAAAUACUAAAAUUUGAUUUUUAGUUAUCUUUUAAAUGUUACUAUUACAUUAUUUGUUUUAGAAUAUUAACAAAUGUAUGACGGCAUCUCGGUGUUAGUUUUGAAAAAAAAAAACAACACUCAAAUUAAAUUGACCGAUUAAAUGUUAAAAAAAAAAAGAAAUAGAUUGUUGUGUGUUGUGUGUAUGUGAUAGUCGACUUACUGACCUAUUGAUUUUCUACCUUAAAUUUGAUUGAAUAGUUUGGUAAGGUAAUUUUAAAUCUAUGCUAAAAAAACCAAUUAAAUCAUUUUUUGACUGAUUUAAUUUUUUGGUUAUUUUUGUUGCAAUCAAAGUAAUUAGGAAAGCAAGAGGUUUGAUGCUGCAUCUUUAGAAAAUCUUGUGCUCUCAGAACUCAUAAGUUUUCUUCUAAAUCCGCUGUCUCUUUAUUUAACUCAAUUCCUCCAACUUCCUCAAUUUUUUUGUUUGUUAAGUAGCUCAAACUUUAGUACAGUAUCAAUAACUCUCCAACCACUUUACAAAGAAAAGGUUACAUGUUGCUCAUUUAAAAAUAUAUAUUUUUAGCUAUCAUACUCUUUGAAAAAUUUAAAUGUAAUUGUGAUUACUAAAAUUUAAAGGAUAAUUUUAAAACGUAAGUAAUAAAAAUGAAAUCGUGAGAUUUAAAAGUAUGGAGAGAUAGUUGAAUUGAAAACUAUGAAAGGAUAAUAAAUUUUGUAUUAAAAAUCAAACUUAAAACGCUAGUUCAAAAAAUGAAUUUUAGAUUCUAUUACAAACCUAUUUGAUUACAAAUGUAUAAUUUUAUAAAAAAUUUGAACUUAAAAGUUGAAUUAUUGAAUAUAAAAUCUAGUAUUAUUUUAUAAAAAAUCAAUAAAACCAGUCAUAUCUUUUUAAAAAUGGUAUAAGUAGCAAUAAUUUUAUAACUAUUCACAAUAUAUAUAUUGUUUUAAAAGUGUGAUUUUACCAAAGAAAUACAUAUUUAUUUAUUUAUGUUAUUUGUGGAGGGUAAAAAGGCCAACAUAAGCACGUGAGAAAAAGCUGGAAAGCAAUAAAUGUGUUUGUUUGAGAGAAGUGCUUUCCCCCUUCUUAGAUGUAAAUGCAGUGGGACCCGCUCCAGUUCUUUUUCUUUUUCCCUUUUUUCUUUUUAAUCUCUCUUUUACUUUUUUCAUCUUAUUUACAAUAACAAUACAUUCACCGACACAUAUACCCUAAAUAUUUAUUUCUUACCUUUAUGCUACACACAAAAAUAUCCCUCAAAUAUGGAUCUCAAUACAUUCAUAUUUACCGACAAUCAAUCUUUUCUAAAAUGUAGAUCAACUUGUUUGUUUUGUGUAAAUGCAUAAUGGUUUACUUAAAAUGGCUAAAAGUUCAAUUUUCUUCAAUCAUUUUUUGAAGGAUGAGUUACGUCCACUACAAAAUACCAAAGAAGACGGAUGAGUUAUAAACCCUAAAAGACAAGCACUUUUGUAAUCUAGGUUGGGCUCAACCUCCAACUCACUCUCUUCAAAAUCUUAUUUAUACCUCUUCUACAUCUCUCUUUCUCAUAAUUUUAUCAUUAAUGUUACUUUUCUUUUCUUAGACUUCUACUGCCUUCAAAAUUACCUAUAACAACUAUUAUUAUUCCAAUAAUAAAAUAUUGUUAAUCAUAUCAUAUCCUCAAGAUAUAAAAAUAUGAUUAAAAAUUGCUUAAAAAUUGAAAGUUAUCACGUGUAUUAACAAGCCACAUCUUUAUUUUCAUUGAUUUAUCGUUAAAAUUAAAAAUAAUUCUAUUGUUCAGUGAUCUCCGAAAAAUUGUUAUUUUUUUGGAUAUUCACAAUAUUUAUAAAAAAAAAUGUAUAAAAUAUGUGACCAAGAACAAAAUUUGAAAUAGCGAAGAAACAUGUGCUACCCGUAAGAUUUUAUACCUUCUAUUAAAAAGAGUAAGUGAAUAAAUAUUUUAUCAUGUAAUUAAUAAAACAAGGCAGACUUAGCAAAAUAAGCAAACUCGUUAGCAAAUAUAGCAAAAUUUUACUUUUAAUAUAUAUAUUUAGUAGAUUGCAAUAAACAAUAGUGUCUUGUUUUGAUUACCAUAAAUGUUAGAAAGUGUAACAAUUAAGUAAGUAAAUCUAAAUGCAAACAGAUAAAGAUUUUAUGAAAAUUUUAACAAAUGUAUAAGAAACAAAUAUUUUAACUCUAUUGCUUGUAAAAUGUAAUUUCAAUUCAAAUUGACAAAAUGUGUGUUUUUGUUUAAAAUCUUUUUUCCAUAACUAAAAUUGUCUUGCUAAGUUCAAAUCUCUCUAUCCUAAUUUUUGUGCUAAAACGAUAUUUUUAAAAAUUUUAAACAUAUUUAAAAACAUCAUUAAAAUUAAAAAUACUAAACCAAACUCAUUUAAGAAAAAAAAAAAAUCUCUUUUAGUUAUCUGUUUGUUUAGAUAUAAAAAAUUAAUUGUUAGCCCCUUAAUGUUUGAGUGGGCGAAUAAUAUGAUUAAAUGAGGGGUCCAUAUUACUCGUGAAAACAUAUAAUUAUUUACUGCAUUAAUGGAUAUAAUUAAUUUAAACACAUAGCAAUAAAUUUUGGUUGUAAUAAAUUAUUUACUUGUGAACACAUACAAAGUGCUUUCAAUUAUUAUAUAUUGAUAGUUUAUUAAAAAAUGCUUUUUGCAUCUUUUCUAUACCAGUGGUGUGUCAAAACAAACUCCUAUUAAUAUGUACUUGGAUCAACAAAUUAAACCAAAGAUUUAAAUCUCCAUCAACAUUAUUCAACUAUAAAAGUAUUGUCCAUUUUUAAAAUUUUAAACAUAUAAUUUAAAUUAUAUUACAAAAUUAGUUAUUCAACUUUUUAAGUUGGAUCUAUAUUACUUAUUUUUUAAAAAAUAUGUAUAAUAGAUCAAUAACCUUUCAAUUCUAUAUUCUAUAUUUAAUAUUCAAUUCUAUAUUUAAGAAGAAAAAUAUGACUAGAUGAAGUAAUUCAAGUUUACCUUUAUGAAUUCUAUCCAAUUGAAUCAUCCCAUAAUUAAAAUGUUUCAAUAUAUUUCCAUUCAUUUGACAUGAAAAAAGGUUUUAAAAUAAUUUACAACUAGAAAGCAUUUAAUGAAUUACAUACAAAUAGAAAGCAUAAUAAUGAGUGGAUGGAUUUAGAGAAACGAAUUAAAUGAUUAGUUUGUGUUCCAAUAGAUUUAAUCAUAUGUAUUAUUAUUUUCAUUUUAAAGACAUGUGCAUCACUAUAUUACUAUUUGUAGAGAUGUGCAUUAUUAUUACUAUUGUUAUAAUUUUUGACAAUAUGUGCAUUAAUAUGCCAAUUAUAUAAUACUUUUAUCAGAUCUUUCAAACUUGUUUUAUUGUGACUGUUGUACUAAUUUGAUGAUGAGGUAAAGCUUAUUCAAUGUUCACUACAGUAAAAAAAUAAAAUUAAUUGUCCAUAAAAAAACAGAGUUUCAAUCCUUAUAAAAUGUUUUUAAACAACCACAAAAUUUUCUAAUACGACAAAAGAAAUUAAAACCUUUAGUAAAAUUUCAUAAUUUAACAAUAGUUAAACACGGAUAAACUUAUAUAAUUAUUGAUUUGUGUCUAUUAGUUACCUAGAUAGUAUUAACUAGUAUAUAUAUAUAUAUAAUAUUUUUUAAAAUUAAAAUAUUAAAAUAAGCUAGAUUGUCGUUGUCGGUGAGGGCCUCUAAAUCAUGUGAAGUGUGAUGAGGCUCAAUUAUGAGGAAAAAAGGGACAUAGAUUAUAAUAAUAAUACCAAACAAUAAAUCACUACAUUUCUUUUCCUAAGUACUAUUUUGCAAAUAUACUCAAUUUAACGUGAAAAUUAAAAGUAGACCUCACCCAUACAACAUUUCUUAUAUUACACUUUUUUUCCGACACAAAUUUAAGGAAAAAAUAUACAUCUAAAUCAAUUAAACUAUACAUAAAAUAGUUCAAAUGAUAGUCAUUUGUGUAUAAGAAAAUAUUAAAUAUGAUUGAAUUCAUAAAAAUUGUUCAUAUACUAUACGUUUAUGAAAAAUAGUGAGAUUUAGACUUAUCUCAAAUAAAAAUGAGUAGUUUUAGUUUAUCAAAGUUGGUAAAAAUAACUUAUAGUUAGAAACUAGCUAGUUUUAAGAUUUAUGUAAUGGGUGUAAUGGUAAAGUACUAUAUACAUAAUUAGAGAAAAGAAGAAAAUAAAUGAAAAUAAGAAUUUUUAAAAUUAAAUACAUUAUCCAAUGUGAAAGAAGAGAUCACCAAUCCCAUCCCAUCAAAAUCUUUUUAUUUUUAUUAUUGUUCAUAGAGAGUGAGAGGUGAAUGCAUGUGCUAAGCAUUAACACUUCUCACAUGGACACAGUCUCUCUAGUGGCAGUGGCAAUCACCCAACUUGGACAAUCUCUCUUUUUCAUCUCUCACGAUUAUAUAUAUAUAUAUAAAUUUAGUUGUUUCCCUUUCAUUAUUUUUGUUGUUUUCGUUUCCUUUUCAUUUUGGUAAUUUACAAAUAUUUAAAUCAUUAAUGGAUCAACAUCUUUACUCUGAAUGAUGUUAUCAAAUCGAAUCAUAUGUGUGUGUUUCUUUAUCAAAGUUUCAUUUAAUUUGUUGAUCUAUGAAUGAAUUAAUAUAUAUAGUUAAGAGUACUUGUUUAUAUAAUCUCAACAACUUACAUAAAAGUGGAAACACUAACAAAAAUAGUUAGAUCUCAUGCCAAUGCUAUAUUAAGUUUUUAGAACGUUUAAAAUCAAAGAUUCUUGUAUGUUUUUAAUUAAUGUAAAAUCAAAACUAGCUAGAGUUAAAGAAAGAUGUUAGCAAUUUGAAUCAUUUACUUAAUUGUGUUUACUUUUUUAGUAUUAUCUAAUUUUUUUUAGUAUAAUUAAUGCAGACAUAAGAUCAAAUCUUCAACCUCUAAGAAAGAAAGUCAUAUCAAUCAUAAUAUUGAAAUACUAAACUCACUUUGACUCUGGCUACCUAGUAUUUGUUGUUACAUCACAACAAAAUUUCAUUUAUAGUUCAAUCAAUAUGUUUUUAUCAUACAUAUAGCAAUGAUGUUAUCAACAAAGAAACUAUAUAUAUCUUUGAUAACAUUCUUAAUUUGAGUGUUCAAUUUUUAUAAUUUAAUGUUGGUUUCCUUACCAUUUUCUUAUAUUUUGACUAUUUAAAACAUAUCUAAACUCUCUCUAUAGACUUAAAAACUAAGCUUCAUUUGAAAAAUAUUUGUAUAAAGUAAAAAAACUAGUAUACAUAAACUUAAUAUCAAAAAAAGCAAAAGGCCAAUGACUAUUUAGUGCUUAAAAUUGAUAAAAUCAUGGUCAAAAACUAGAUUUAUAAUGUAACCAGUAGUUUCAAAGAGGGAAAACAGAGAAAAUUUCCAUAAUGGAAGAAUAAUCAAUAACAACAAAAGAGACUCCAAUAAUUUAGAACUAUUAAUAUAUAUAGUCUUUGGUCAGUAAUAAUUGAGAUAGGAUUAGUGAUUAAAAUUAUUUUUUUUUUAAAAAAAAGGAUGAGAUGGGCAUCUGAUCAUGAAUUUAUGAUGAAAUAUAUGUGGUAAGGUAGAUCAAUUAAGAAAGAAGAAGAAAAAAGAGUGUGAAAAGUAGGGAUAUGAAUGAAUAUGAUAUAUGUCAAUUAGCACUUAAUUAAUAAAAGCUUAAAUGAAAGAAAAUAAAAUAAUAAAAGGUUAAAGAUGAAGGAUUAUUUAAUUGAAUAAGAGGAAAAUGGAAAUGAAGAGAGUAGAGAGUAGAGAGAGAGAGAGAGAGAGAGAGAGGGGCAUGUUGUUAGCAUGUGAAAGUGUGUUUGUGCUUUCAAAAUUUCACAUGGGACACUUGCAAUAUUCUUUUGCUUUAAAUCAUUACUUCAAACAAAAACCAAACUCCCCAAAGGGAGAGAAAACAUAUCCAUCACAUUAUGCAACCAAAUAAUUAUAAUAAUAAAUAACCACAAUCAUAGUUUAAGAUAAACGCUUUUUUAAAAAAAAAAAAUUAACGAGUAAAUAAUAGGUGAACAAGGAUAGAUCAUAUAUAUAUAUAUAGGGUUUAGUUUUUAUUUGAGUUGUGAGUUCUUCAAUUUUGUUAUAAGGUUUUAGAAUGUUAAAUUUUUAUUCUUUUAAGUUUUGGUUAUUUUUUUUGUUUUUAUUUAGUUUAUAAAUUUUAACAUUUAUACUUUUACGGUCAAAUUUUAAAAAAAAACUGUGAAAUUCAUUUCUUGUAGUUCUUUAAAAUUAAUUGAUAGAUUAAUUAACCAUAAAAUUAAAUACGGGUGAAAGUGUGCAUCUUAAAAUCUAAGAGCCAAUUAAAACAAAAUUCAAAUGCUAAAGGUAAAAUUGCAACCUUUUAAAAAUAUAAGGACCAAAUUAAUUAACUGAAAUUCAAAACUUAAAAAUUAAGAUCACAUUUACGCUAUGUGAAAGUUAAUAAAUCAAUGGUGAUCUAACAAGUGGACUCUUCAUAAUCAUGCUACCCAUGUUGGCGUUUGAGACCUACUUUCGAGUUGGUAAUAAAAAAGCAUAAUCACCAUAGAGCAAUUGAUCAAUCUGAAUAAGUUAUCAUUAUUGUUAGUGUCACAACAUGAAAAAUCUGAGUUUAUCAUAUUAUUGUUAUUUUUAUCUUUUAGGAUCAAACAAUAACAAUAACGAUAAUUUUAAGAAUAAUAAUAAAUGUAUAUAGAUUCACAAUUGAAAGUAAACAUGAUAAAAAAAAAUAUAUAUAUAUUUGCCAUUGAGAUGGAUUGUGAUUAUAUAAAUUUUCUUUAGUAAUUGGUAAAUGUGGCUUGAAAGAGAAUAUUUUGAAAGUUUAAGGACUAAAUGGAAAGUGAACUCGGAAUUGUUCUCUACUUGUAUUAUGGCCACUUUUAUGUUUCAAAUAUUGAAGAUGGGGGAAGGCCAUAUAGUUUUCGGGUUGGGCUAAAUUAUUAUGAUGUAAUCUUGGGUUGGUAUGUUGAGAAAAAAAUGCUUAUGUUUAACAACAAAGCCUGAAAGGGCCUGAGGGUGACAUUUCCAUGGGUCAAAUGCAAUGGCCUUAUUCGACCCAUCUACACAAAAGCCUUCUAAAUAAGAGAUAACUUUCCAAUAAAUUGAAGUUUGUCCAAGAUUCCAAAUUCACUCAUAAAAAAUAUGAAAAGGUAACAAUCGUUUUUACCAAUCACUAAGUUUAGAAACAGAUUAUCAUCCAAUUGAAGAUGUAGGAUAUUCACGUACUUCACAUCAUCUAAGAAGAGUUGGGGAUGAAAAGUCAUGAUAUGAACAUGUCCGAUGAAGGGAGACUAUGAGAAUCAGAAUCCAAAUACAUCUUUCGAAGUAAGUCGCCAAAUUCCAUAUGCAAUUUGCCAAAACCCUUUGCAGUUAAAACUCCAGACGGUCUUUGAGAGCUAUUUCCGCAAAAACAUACGACAAUUGGGUAGUAGAUGCCUUGUUGGGCCGGGGGUACGUUUAUUGGGCCAAAAAGUUUCGGGCCAUUUUCUGUAUCAAACAGGCAAUGUACUUUUACCUCACUUUUGAAUGCACCCACCCUACAAGUCUUUUUUCUUUGUGGACAGAAAAUGCACUUGUAGGGCUGACAUUGAUGACCAUUACCUAAAGUGUUUUAGACAAAUACUUCAUUCCUUAAGUUUCCAGAAAAUGUUUCUAAAAUGACCUCUUAAUUAAUUUCAAUCUAACUGAUUGAUCAUUAGGCUCUUAUCUAUCAUUAAGCUAAAUAAAUCUACUAAAUACACAUUUAGUUGAUCUACUUCUCAUAGCUAAACUAAAUUCAUUUUACUUCCCCAAUACAUUCUUAUUGAUCCAAACAAAAGUUCCUCCAUUACUCAUCUACUUCUCAUUUAAAUGAAAUCACACAAAAGUUGGAAGAACAAUAAUAAUAAAAAAAAUAGUUUUAAAAAAUGUAAUGUAAGAAAACUAUGCAUAUAGUAAUUUAGGGUUAUGGCUGUAUACAAAGAUAGGUGGUAGGUAGGGAUAUAAUAUAUAUGGACAUAAUGUGGAAGGGCAAAGGUUAACCCCCCAAUGAAAUUCCAAAAGAAUAAAGAAACACUAAUUUGAGAAAGAAACAAGAAACCAUUGAAGAGAUUUGUUAGAAAUAAAUGAGUCCAUAGGCCCAAAAAUUUAAUGCUUUGUUAUUAUUAUAAUAUUUACCAGUAUGGGGCAUUGAAAUUAAAGAAUAAAAGUAAAGAAAGCAACCAAUAUUUUAGAGUUUUGUUUGACCUAAAAGAAGAAAAUGUUGGAUAAGGAUUGGCUAUAAUAACCACUAAUAUAUUCAAGUAGAUUAGGUCUUUGAUCUCCUCCACUCCAAAUCUUACAUUUUCCCUUAUCAACUCUUUUUUAUUUUUGUUUUUUGUGUUUGAAAAAAAUAAUGGGUGCAAUUGGAAAAGAAAGAUAAGGCUUUAAUUUGCAGAUAUCCAUACUUGUGAUUCGUGAAAGAUGUAAUUUUCCAGAUUAGUUCCCCAAUCAGAUCUCCUCCAAGAUUUAUAGCUAUGAAAUUAUGUAUAAUUUUUUGCUUGUUUUAGAUUGUUUUCACUACUUAAUUAAGUAUAAUUAGCUCAAUGUCCAUUACUUUAAUUUUCACAUUCAUCCAUGGUGAGAGGCUGAAAUUAAAAAUGCUAAGGAAGUAAAUUGAAACCUAUUUGGAUAAUAGACACUACAAACUUUUUUUUAAAAGCGUUUUUCUAUUUAGUAAAGGUGAUAACUACAACAACAUUAUUACUUCCUAAAUUUAUUUGAUUGUUUGUUCAAUUCAGUAGGCAACAUCCCUGAAAUACGAAUAUAAUUAGGUAGAAAUUAGGACAAAUGGUAAAGUAAGCGAAAAAGACGGUGUAAGCGUUACAAAAUAACAAAUUCAAAAUUAGGACAUCAAAUGGUAAGUAAGCGGAAAAGACGGUGUAAGCGUUACAAAAUAACAAUUUCAAAAUUAGGACAGCAAAUGGUAAGUAAGCGAAAAAGAUGGUGUAAGCGUUACAAAAUAACAAUUUCAAAAUUAGCACAGCAAAUGGUAAGUAAGCGAAAAAGACGGUGUAAGCGUUACAAAAAAACAAUUUCAAAAUUAGGACAACAAAUGGUAAGUAAGCGAAAAAGAUGGUGUAAGCGUUACAAAAUAACAAUUUCAAAAUUAGGACAGCAAAUGGUAAGUAAGCGAAAAAGACGGUGUAAGCGUUACAAAAUAACAAUUUCAAAAUUAGGACAACAAAUAAUAAAAUAAGCGAAAAAGACGGAGUAAACGUUACAAAAUAACAAUUUCGAAAUUAGGACAAAUGAUAAAGUAAGUAAAAAAUACGGUAUAAGCGUUACAAAAUAACAAUCUAUAAGGAGAAUGAAGUUGAACACCAUUCCAUAUAUAAUGAGAUUAUGAUAUAUGAUUACAAAUUGGAGGGUGUAACUAUUGAAAAAUGUGGUAAACACAUUGUAUUCCAUAUUUUUAUUUUCAUUUUCAUUCAUUAAUUAUAUUUUGUUGGUAAGUAAACAUGGUCUUAGGUUCUUAGCUAAUAGAUGUUUAAUUUCAAUCCACUAAAAAUGUGAAUAGAAAAUUUGUGGAGAAUAUAAGAACACAAUCAAAAUCAUCUUUGAUCAAACUUGUCCAAAUUUAUUUUAACUAAAAUGUUAGGUUUCAAUUCCAUAGAUAUAUUGUUUAAAAAUAUAUAAUUGGAUCAACCAAUUAAUAUUUUUAAAAUUUAAUAUAAGUAAAGGGAGAGGUAUAGAAAAAUAUUAAAACUAUUUACAAAAUAUAACAAAAAGAAAAAUUAAAUGGACCAAAGAGGGUUGGAGAAAUUUUACUAUAUUUUAUAAAUAAUUUUACUAUUUUGCAUUUUAAAAAAACAUUUACCUUUUUAUAAAUAAUAAAUUUUUUAUUAUUCAUAUUUGUUGCGGGUGAUUCUUGAACCAAAGCACGUAAACAACAUUUUACAAAUAACAUGAACAAUAUGAUUUGGACUAAAAGAUAAAACCUAGGACCAAAUGACCAAGAAAAAGAGGUUUGCUUGAACUUAGGCCAAGUGUGCUCGGUCUCGACUAGCCUAAUCAAAUACGUAAUGAAACAUGUCUUGUGCAUGUUCCAAACUAAGUGACUAUUACUCUAGGUCGAAAGUAUAGUGAGAGGGAGGGUGUUCGACCUCAAUUUGGGUCCUAGAGAAAAUCAAAUAGGAUGCCACUCACAAACCUAGUAACAUAAAUUUAGUUUACGAACAUAUAUGGAAAUAUUAAUAGAAAAAUAAAUAAGUUUAUAAGAUAUCAAUACAUAUACAUCAUGCAUAGGAAACAACUGAAAAAUUGGUAAGAAAGUAAUCCAAAAAUCCUUUCACACAUUUUUCUUCCCCAUGUGUCAACUUAAGAUCAUGGAUAUGUGAUCCCAUUGAAUAUGUACCAAAACCUAAAACCUAGAGGGAGCUAGCUUCCUUUGCAACAAGAAUCUGUCACAUUUUUAUCCUAUAGUAUCCAAACAUUUGGAAUUACCUUAAAAGAAUGGUUGGUAUCACUUCCUUCAUUACAUUUUUUUUUAUUUAGCUUCUAUCUUUAUUCUUCUCUCCUUGAAUCAUGGCUAUAUUUCUACUUUUCAACCAAUUUUCAACGUUUUCAAAGAUCAAAACAAUUCAAUUAUAUAUUAAUUAGAUUCAUUUCAAUUUGUUGCUAAAAUAAAAUAUUAUAGUAUGAAGUUUGUAGAAUUUAUUUACACUAACUACACAUAUAUACUUAUAACGAAUGAUAUGAGUUUUAAUAUGGAAGAAUUAUUUGAAAAGAAAAGUACUCACACACUCACUUUCGUGUUAUCUUAUAAUUAGUUUAGUACUAACGUUAAAAAUGGAGCAUUAAUCUACUUGUUAAUAUUUAUAAUAAUCUCCUAAUUAAUAUACGAUUAUUAAAUCUAUAUACAUUAAAAAAUAUUUUUUAUUUCAAAAAGUGUAAAAUGAAAGUGAUGGUAUAUAUAAUCUCAUAGUUAAUUUUCCAAAACAUAUAAAAUUGAUUUGAACUUUCUCUCAUCACCAUUGUUCAUACAGUUUAUGAGACAAUUUACAAAUUUUGGACCUCAAGUUUUUUAGCAUAUAGACUUUAUAGCUUGUGUUCAUAUUGGAAAUACUCAUCUCAUAUAUGGUUACAACUAUUUUUUAUUAAUUAAUUUGAUAGUUUAAUUUGGCUGUGCUCAACAAAAUAUAUAGAGAAAUAUAGACCAGUUUUUUUUAAAAAAGCAUGAAAAUAACAACGAAUAUAUAACAUUAAUACAUAACAUAUAUAAAUUGUAAAGGUUAUAUCAAAUAUUUGUUGGAGAGGAGUCCUACAUUAGAAGGUAUCUAGUGAAGUAGAUUAAUGAUUUCAUGUUUCAAAGUGCUCAAAGGCUUUGAUGGUGAUACUACAUAAACAUCACUUUAACCAAAUUGCAUCAAUAAUGGAAAUUUUUUUCCUAAAGCUGCCAUUUUCUUGGGAUUCUUUUUUCCCCCUCUUUUGACAAUUAUUGUUUUUUUUCAGUACAAUGUGAAGCUAUAAAGGAAAAGCCUAACCCUAAGUCUUGCUUAUAGCUUUGCUUUCAUUAACCUAUAAAACCUAACACAAAAGGAUUGCAUGUCUCUCCCUUUCAAAAUCCACCAUAUCUUUUAUCAUUUAUAUUCCUUUGACUCACUAAUACCAUAUUCAUUCAUUUAAUUCUAUAUGGUUUUAAAAAUUCAAACAUUUUUGUGAUUGUAGUGGGUUUAGUUUAACUUUAACUUUUGUGAUCAUGAUAUUGAUAAAUUAAUUUUUAAAUAUCUAUUUAUGCCUCCAUUUGAAUAAAAUAGAUGACUUCUAAAAUUGAGUUGAACUAAAUGCCAAACGUGAAUCAAUAUAUUAAAUAUUUGUUUUCUUAUAAAAUUAUGAUUUGAUGGUUUAUAAAUUAGAAUUGAUGUAUAAUUGAGAUCGUUGUAAAAAAUAUUUACUUAAAAAGUUGUAACUAAUAUAUUAAUUAUGAUUUGAGUUAAAAAUAUGUGUUUAAGGUAUUGUUGGUUUGAUAUAUGCUAGAGAUAUUGUUUCACUUUGAAAUAUAUAUUUUGUUGAUUGUUUUUUAAAGUAUACAUGUAUGAAAACAAAUUUUAAGUAUUUUAAAAAUGAAUGGUACUCUGACUACUCCUACUAAUGGCUACAUUACAUAGUUGACAUAAAAAUCAUAUAAAUAAACCGUUAUAUGAUACAAAAAAGUUAUAUACGAUAUGAGGUAGGAAAGAGUCAAGUCGCUAAAACAAAGAAAAAUUACAUAAAGGGUUGUACAAAUUUUCACUCUGAUAGAUAUAUAUAUAUGUUAAAAAAUUAGUGUAUAUAUAAGAGUACAAACUGUCAAUACUCACUUAAGAAAAUAUCAAAUACAAAAAAAUCAACAUGGUCUUUGUGUUAGUAUGAUCCAUUUGUUUGAUAUUUUUUUUUAAAAUUUAGUUUAGUUUCAAACGAACCAAUUUUGAAACUUAUUAUAUUAAUAUCAGAUUUUUUUUUCGAGUCAUUGAUAGACAGUGAUACAAGUCUAUUAGUGAUUAUUAUCGAUAGAAUCUUAUGCUAUAACUUAUAAAUAUUUUAAUUUAUUUUGUUAUUCUUAAAAAUGCCAUUUUUUAUAAUGAUUUUGUAGGUAAAAAAUUAGAAGAAAGACUUUAAUAUUUCCUGCUUUACACGUUUUAUUGUCUUUAUGUAUGCUUAAUAAAUUUCAACAAUAUUUACAUUGUUUGAACAAAAUCAAAGUACAAGUCACUCAAACAUUUCACUAAUAAAAAAAUUAGAUGAAGAAAAAAAUAUGAGCAAGAUUAUCAUAGUUACAUUAACAAAAUUUUCAAUAUUACAUGAUCAUUUAAAUAUAAUGAUAAAGAGCAUAAACAUAUGUACAUGUCAACCAUAAAGUUGGUGGUUUAAGUUUCUCCGACUUUUGUUGUGUACUAAAAAGAAACCUAUAAAUGAAGGAAUAUAUAAGUUAUUAAUUUUGCAACGAGAUUUAUGUGUAUUUGAUCAUGUUAAUGUUUAAAAAUAUCACAAAAAUAAUCAAACAAUAAAUAAUUAUCAAAUAAGUUUAUAAUUUUAUUUCAAUUUUUUAAGAACCAGAAUAGACAUCGGACAUAGUUCCUCCAAAAAAACGAAAAAAUGAAAAAAUAAGAAAAAUAAAAAUAAAAACGUUACCACAAUUGUUAAGUCAUAGAUUGUGUUGUGGGAGACAAAAGAAGUGAACAACGGAUGUGAUGGUGUGUAAUUAAAUGGUAAACACUUCCUUAACCUUAUAUAUAUAUAUAACGUUUAAGGACACGUUAAUAUAACUUUUAAAAGUUUUACAAACACUUUUGCAACGAGUAGGUAAUAACGAUUUCUAAUAUUAUAUUAGCAAGAGUAUAUUUUAAAAUUUUCUUUUAAUUUAUGGAUAUUAUUUAAAAGUCGUGUAUUUUUAAAUGUUUCCACCUAAAACUAAUGGUAAAUGCAUUUUAACUCUCUUUUCAAAAUUUAAGGACUAUAUUUUCUAAACUUUUCAAAUUUCAAACUUUUUUUUUUUUUGACAAAGUACAAAGUUCAAAUAAAUAAAUACAUAAUAUUGAGUGUAUUAAUAGUUAAGAUAUUUGUGGGUAAAACCUUUCCUACUUUUUUAUUAUUGUUUAUACUAAAAAGCUGAUUUUUGAAUAACAAAAAUCUAAUAUAAUUUUUAAAAUUUCAAUUAUGUUAUAAUAGAUUUCUUAUUUUCCAAUCCCUAUUCAAUUCAUUUACUGUUGAAUAAAGUGAGCUCACAAAGUUCACUACAAAUUCAAAUUAAAAUACAUAUAAAUUCAAUGAGCAAUGUUUCAUGGAAAUUUAACAAAUUCAACUUAAUUAAUUAUGGUGAAUGGAAAACACGAUCCCAAUUAGAACACAUAUAAAUUCAAAAUUCAAAGGAAAGGAUUUAGAAAAAAUUUUAACCACUGCAAUAAUAAUGAAUUAAAGUAAUAAUUACCGAACCGUAGUUUGGUUUAAUUAAUAGUCUCGAAAGCUUAUAAUGGCGAACAUUUUUAUCCCUUGUUAUUUUUCCAUUUUUGGAUAUAUGUUUGUGAUAUGAUUUUGAAGGGAAGAAUGAUUGAUGGUAUGUAUAAAAUUAAAUGGGCAUUAUUGGGUAGGUAGAGUUGUUUGGCCAAUUGGUAUGAAGCUGUUAAAGCUAAUCAUUUUUCAUUUCCCAAAAGUUAUUUAAAUUAAAAUCUCAUCAACCUCUCACAUGUAGUAUUGUAGAAUUGAAGAUACAUAUUCACUUUUCCAUUCUUUAACACAUUUUGGUGGACAUGCAGCUUUUUUAUUAGAGAUAUUGUCUCUUUUCACAAGUCAAUAUUAUGAAACCACCCUCAUCAUUUUAAACUUUAAAUCUUAUUUUCAUCCCUUGUUUUAGUUCCUUAAGAGCAUAUUGAUUAGGUCUUGUUAUUAGGAUUUUGUUACCUCUUUGACAAUAUGACUUCUAUAAAUAUAUAUAUAUAGAUGAUUAUUCAUUACACUACCAAAUACGAUAACUGUUCUCAAGGUUUUAAAUUUUAACUAGAGAUCGAUGGUAGAUUGAUGUUUUAUCGAAUAACUCAAAAAAUCAUUUUUCCUUUCAAGAUUUUGAUUGUCACGAUUCUUGUGCAUUGUCGUUCUACUUUACUUUCUCAAUCCAUGUAAGAUGCAAUUUCAUCCGCAUUCAAAUUUUGUACUGCCUCAAGCUUGAGAUAUUUUGUGAUUUAUUUUAGUGUUUUUUUUUCUUUAUUAGGAGAGAGUCGAAGAGGUUGUGAUUGAUUGUGAAAAUAUUUAUAUGCAAUAAUUUCAUGAAGUUUAUUUAAUACAUCAUGAGUUGCAUUUAUUUUAUUUAUUUAUUAGUUUGUUAUGAAUAGUUAACAUCAAUAUAUCAGUUCUAUUUUCAGUGUUUUCUACUCAUUGUUGCUUAAAUAUUUCAAUUUGAAAAAAGAGAGUUGAUAAGUGGGAGUCAAGAGGGCAUUUGAAAGAUUUGAAUUUUGAAAGAAAAGAAAGGAAAUAAAUUAGUUGUUGAGUUUAUUUAGUAAAUAUAUUGUCAUAAAAUUAAAAAUUUAUAGAAUAAAUUAGUAAAAAAUUUUAAGGAUGUGGAGUCUAAUUAUCUAAAUAUAGAAUAUGAACGAACCUAAACCCUAUUCUUAAAUAUGGAAGUCCUCGAUCACAAAUACACACAAAUAAACUAACGUCUAACAAGAAUAGGAUUUAGACAUAUUUUAAUUACUUUUGUCUGUAAUGAAAUAUUUGUCCUUUAUUUUUUGCAAAUCUAAUGUGUAUUAUUUCUCUAAUAAUUAGUAUUUCGAAUAACCGAUAUUAAUUAUUAUUAAUUUUAACUUUCUCUGUAACAUCUCAGACAAAAGGUUUGAUUAUUCUUGUUGAUGUUAUGUUUUUUUUUUCUUUAAUAUAUACUUUAUAUAAAGUAAAAGCUGCUUCGAAAUAAAGUAAUUUAAAAUUUACAUUCGCUUUUGUGGUGGAUUUUAAUGAUUUUUAGUAAAAGAAUAAAACCACCCUUAAAAAGAAAAACUAAAAUCCAUGAAAUCAUAUGCCAUGGAAUCAUGUUGCUUAAAAAACCUAAUUUUAAGAGAUUACAUUAAGAUAAAUAACGAAAACAUAUCUUUCAAAAUUAAUCCAUUUAGAUAUACAUUAAUAUACAUUAAGAUACUCAAAACUAUUAACCUUUAAUAAGUUAAUAACUACUAAUUAAAUAUAUAAUUGAGCUAUUUUAUAUUUUCAUCCAUCUAGUGGUAAAAAAAUUGGUAAUCACAUUGUAUAAGUCUUAUUAAAUCAUAAUUUAUCUACUUCUCUCUAACUUAUAGAUUGUUUCUAAAUAUUAUAUAUGAUUGUCGAAAAUCUUUUCCAUCAACUUAAAAAAAUAUUAAUUAUAAAUUAACUCUUUAACAUCUUAGAAUCUAAAAAAAUUAAAUUAAAAAUAAACUCAAAACUUAAAUGAAAAAGAGACAUUUUCUUUAUUUUCUUUCAUAGAUAACAAACUAAGAGGUAGGUAGGUUGGGAUGUAUAUAUAUGCUAACAUAUUAAUAUGUAAGCAGGAUUUGAAACAGCCAGAUAAAUAGAAAUUAGACAAAAAAAAAGAGAAGAAAAAAAACAUAAAAUGGAAAUAAUAGUUGAGAUAAAGUUGAAAACUGAAAAUGGGAAUUUAUUUAUGAUGUGUAUAUAAAAAAAUAAUGAAAAAGGGAGUAAAAUAAUUGAAAGAAAGAAAACAUAAGUUUGGGGGGGAAAAGGUUAGAAAAGAAAUGUGUAGGUAAUUUAGAUAGAAAAAUAAAAAUAAAAAUAAAAAAAUGAAUGAGGUUGUCGGGUGUCCUGUCCCUUGAUAUGGAAAAACAUCGGUUUUAGGUAUGUGAAGGGUGCCCUGUCCUUAUUACAGGACCCUCUUCUCUCAUCAUCCACAACCCUACACCCACAUUUCUUCUUCUUCUUCUUCUUCUUCUUCUACUUCUUCUUCUUAAAUAUUUACUUUUCAUUUCCAGGGACCCUCUACCCCGCUUCCAUGCCAGGUGCCCUCCAUUUUGUCCUUUACUCUCUCUCUCUCUCUUCAUUUUACUCUUUCUUUUCUCUUUCCUUCAUAUAAUUCUAAUCAUCUUUAAUUCAAGAAUGUUGUUCAACCCUUCAUACCUUACUUCAAUAUUUGUAGUUAAAGUUUACGUGUUUGUGAAUCAUUUAUUUUAGUGGACACUUAAAUAAUAAAAAUGUUUUUUAUUUUUAAUUUAAGCAUAACUUAAUUAUUUGAACUAAAAAGGAAAUGUCAUUUUUUGUUUUGUUUGAUAAAAGAAGUAUGGGAGACAAUAUCUUAAAAUAUAAAAAAUAAAACUGGGAAGGGAAAAAUAAUGGAAAAGACAAAAACAAUCGAAUUUUGGUAGAUCUAAAAUAAUAACAUUUCGAGUUAUGAAACGGAGUUGCUUUAAUUGAAAAUGCGUAAAUAUGAUUGUAACAACUCUUAUAAUAUCAUUGGAGGUUUUUUUUUUCUUCUAAAAAAAUAGAGAAAAUAAUUAGGGUUAGUCAAAGGUGAAAUAAUGUAGGGCAGAAUGCAUGUGAGGAUCUGCAAAUAACAUUGAUGAGGAAUGAAGAGGGAAUUCAGUACUGUGGGUUGGAUGGUGUAGCUUCAAAUUGGGUAUUAGGUUGUAUGUAACACCAAACCAAAAUGAGAGAGAGAAAUAUAUAUACCAUAGCAUUUAAAUAUUAUGACUAAAAUGAAAAAUGAAAAAUGAUGAAGUUGUCUGAAAAUUUGAAUCCCCAUGUGGGUUUGUCAACUUCUUUGUUAGCACUGACAAACCCACAACCAUUUUUCCAAAACUUGUUUUUUAAGCCAAAUAUUAUCCAUCAAAAACCCCAUAAUCUAUACUUUCGUUUCUUUUCUUUAUUCCAAUCAUUCUUCCUUUCAUAAGGCCUUCAAAUGCACUUUUGUUUCAUUCUCAUUUCAUUUUCUCCAUCAUUUUUCUAUACCUUGUGUGUGUGUCUAUCUCUUUUUUUCCCCUUUUGUGGUUGAUUUUGUGUGUAAUUCAAGAAGAAGAAGCGGGCAUGCUUAUGUCAAACGUCUACAAAUAUUUAAUUCAUUGGACAUAUACAUUUGAUUUAGGCUUGUCUAUAUGUUAGAUAUUUAAUUUAAUAUGACAAUGUUAGAUGUUUAAUAGUUUCAUUCAAUAUUUCUUUUUACAAAAGCUUGUUUACGUCAAAAGCAAAUAAAAAUAUAACAGAUUUAAAUUUUAUAGGUUUCUAAAAAAUUGUCAAGUAAUUUAUAACAUAGAAUUUUAAAACAAAAGACUGAAAAAGAAAAUAGGAACAGUAAUGUAUUUCCUUUCUUGUUCAUUUUUGUUUAAAACUUUGAAAUUUUUUUAUUUUAGGGUUUUAUGAAAUAUUGAUAUUAUUUUGAAAUAUGUGGAGUGAUAGAUCAAGGCACUAACCUAUUUGAUGCCAUAGUUUUUUUUAGUUCGGUUCAUUUUAGCCAUUAAUAAUAAUCUUUUUUGUUUUAAAUUGUAAAGAAUUGUCCAUUUUAAUUAUAUUGUCAUUAUUUUACACCUAACACACUCAACCAACGCACCUACCUCAAAAUAGAGAUACUACUAAUUUUGCAUUAACACUUCAAAUCAUACAAUUUAAAAAUAACACAUCCAUACUUUUUUUCUUCUCUAAAUAGAUUUGAAUAGAGAUUAUAUUUCUUCGUAGUUGAAUAUAUAUUAUGUUCAUGUAUAUAAAUUAGGCAUGCAACAAUUUGUUGAAAAUAAAAUAAUGGUAAGAACUAAAAUAUAUAUAUAUUUUGGUUUAAAACUAGAAUAAGUAUUUUGAAAAAUUAAAGACAGAAAAAAAUUAAGCAUUAAUUAAAUUACCUAAACGAAGCUAUAAUCGAACCUAAUUAAAGUUCUUACUAUUACAUUAUUGUUAAAAUUUCUAAAAUAUUUUUCCUACAUUAAUUAUCUUUUUAUAAACUCUAUAAAGAUGCAUUAAAGUAAUUUCGUACAUGAAAUUAUUAUUCUAAUUUAUCUAACUUAAUAAAAAAAAAAACGGUUAACUUUAGUGUUAACAAUCUAGGUUAAAAACUAUAUAAACGUAAAGUAAAAGAAUAAAAAGAAAAAAAUAAUAAAGAUAGAGGCAUUUGUUUGUUUAACGUAAUAACUAAAAUGGAGUUAAUAUAUUUUGGAAUUAUAGGAAGGCAUUUGUUUGUUUAACGUAAUUAAUACAAAUGGGUUUGCAAUAAAUUGCCUCUUAUUUUGUGAGUUUCAAUGCAACCGUUUUACUUUACACACUUUUCAAUAAUCAAACCAUUUCUGUAAUUUCAUUGGUCCGCUGACGUCAUCUCCAAUACUAAUCAGUCAAUCAAUCAAAUAAUUCCAAGCUAAUCUCCCCAAGUUUCCGUGCCAUAUCUAACGGCUUAUAACCCCGCAUCUCUAUGGUCCCCCAUCACGUACGUCUCAUCCUAUCAAAUCUCAACCCUCCCUUUUUUCCUUUUUUCUUUUUCUUUUUCUUUUUAAAAUCAUUUUUAAUAUUAUUCAUUUUGUUUUAUUUUCUUCAAAUUUUGUCCCUAAACUCAUUCAAACUAUCUAUUUUAAUAUUCCAAUUUUUCAAGGUUCCCCAAUUUUAAUCUUACCUGCUACUUUCUCAUAUAUACGUGUGUAUAUCCAGACUAUGAUUUGAUAAUGUGUUUUUCUCUAAUAUAAAAAAACAAUUAAUAAAAAUCAAAUCAAAUUUUAAAAAAUGUCAUAAUAAUAAUUAUUGAAAUAAGUUCAAGUUAACAAAAAUAUUUGUUAAAUACAUAGGUUAUUAAUCUAUGAGUAUCCAAUAAAUAUUCAGUCAAUCAAAGCCAAAACUAUGUUUGACUUGACAAACAAAUAUUAUAAAUUAGUUGAAAUUUUUUAAUAGAAAAGACUACCAAAAAGUACAUGUUAUUUUUAGUGAAUUUAUGGCCUUUUUUCUUUUAUUUUCAUGUGACGAUUUUUUCUUCCAAUUAUUUUAUCUGCAAAAUUAAUUCAAGAGCCUUAAAAUAGAUACUUGAGAAUUCUAGAUUUUUUUUUAGUAUAAUUAGGAAAUAAAUUUAGAAACAUAAAACCCGUCAUAUAGAGUCACUUAUACAUAUUUAUAUAUUAGUUGAAUAUAGGAUUAAAUAUAGAAUAAUGGGAUAUUUUGAAAAAAUUGAAAGUUAGUAGGACAAAAAUGAAAAUUAAAGCAGUGUUAAUUAAUGAAUUAAUGAGGAGGACAUAAUUGAUUUAUAUUGAAGUUUGACUUUUAGUAAAAGGAGCAUUAAGAUUGACUUAUUUGAAUAAGUGGAGGGACACGUGGCGCAUGGGAUGAGGAGUGGGGCACACGUGUGCGGCACGUGGAGAGAUUGGAGAAGAGUCCGAUCAGUUCAAAAGAGGCAAACCCAAGUUCGUAAAUUAAAUGAGUUUUUAAUGUGGAGAUUAAGGAAGACAAAAUAAGUGUCAGUAGACCCUUUUUUAACCAAAUAAAUAGUAAUCAAACAUGCAUUUACUCAUAAAAACUGAUUAUUCCAAACCUCACUUUUAAUUAGACCAAAACUACGACUUUAGUACUUAUUACAAGUGCUUUGAUUAAUAAAUGUCUUUCUGGUUUGUGAUACGUCAUUGGUUUUCGUCCAAAUUGGCUGGGGAAUAAUUAAGAUUAGGAUGAAAUUUUAGGUCUCUUUGAAAACGAUGUUUGCUUUUUAAUUUUUUUUGUCAAUAAUUAAUUAAGCAUCUUUCUUAAUUACAAAUUUGACCCUACACCUAUCAACAUUACAUUUAGUUCCUACAAUUUUGAAAUGCUUCUAAUAUAUUUAUGAAAUUUUAUAUUUUUAAUUUUUAAGGUCUUUUUCUAAGUUAAAGCAUGUAUCUUAAUUUAUACUGAAAAAAAGAAUAUAUUAAAAUUAUAUUCUCAAUGAAGGUAAGAUAUUCAACUCUCUCGUCUCCAUGUUCAAUUCUUACAAAAAAUUAACAAUCACUUAAAUUUGACUUGAUAAAUUAUACGAUUGUAUUAUAUUGAAAACUUAGCUUACCCAGUUUUAAUUUAUAAUUUGCUUUUCAUUUUUUAUUGGAUGUUUAUAAAUAUAGCAAAAAUUUUUAUAAUUGAUAAAUUAUGAAAUUAUAUAUUUUUUUUACCGUUUUUCAUUUAAAAUAAUUAUUUAAAUACAUGUUUUAUUUUUAUAAUUUGAUUAAGAAAAUCUUAAUUUCCAAAAAAAAAAAAAAGAAAACAAAACUUAAUUAGUCAUAGAAAAUACGGUGUUUUUCGUAGAUGUUAAGAUUAGAUAGAAUAACUAAAUUUUAUAAUUAAAAACACUAGUAAUUAAAAAUCAGAAUGAAAAAGUAACUUUUUUUAAUGAAAAGAAAAAAGGAAAAAGAAAAGUUAGUUAUACAUUUCAUCAUCUACAUACUUUUACAUUUAUGUCAAAUUUGGAAUUUCCAUCUUAAUAUUGUUAAUCUUAAUUGUUCGGAAACUACCGAUUACAUCAACAUCAAAGAGAGUGGCAAAAAAGUAAAACUUGUAAUUAGUAUUAUAGAGACAAAAUUAUGAAAAUACAUAAACAAAACGAUAAUAAUAAAAAAAAUAGUAAAAUUAACAAAAUAUCUAACUCAUUCAAAAGUUUAGUGUAGUUGAAUAAAGGGAUUUUGCAUGAAAAACAAACUACUAUUUAAUUAUUUACGCUAUAUAGAAAAUAAUCACAUAAUUAAAUUCAUUACACUCAUUUUUCAUUUUUUUCAUGAAAGGUAAAUAAUCAGUCCAUUUUUUCAUUUUUAAUAAUUUUUUUAAAAUAAAAAAUACAAAUGUUAUUACAAAAAUCUAAUAUUAUAUUUUAGGGAUGAUAUAAUUAAGUCUAAUAUUGUUAUUUUAAAUUCAAUCAUUCGGUUAUAUUUAUAAUUUUUUAAAAUAUUGUUAUGUACAUUUAAAUAUUAUCUCUAAGAUUACUCGAUAUUAUAGUUACUCUCACCUCAAUAUAAUAAAUAGUUGUAAAUUGUAUCAUGUUAAUAAACUUUCCUUCACAAUUUAAAUAAAAAAUUGAAAGACAUUUAAAUUCUUUUUUUGAAAGUUGAAGUUCAUGUUAUUUUUCCAAAAUAUCCCAUUUAAACGAGGGUUAAAAAAUUAUACAAAUUGUUAUUAACAAAAGCUAACUUUUCUAAAGACAUAUGAACACAUCGAGUUAAUGUUUAUUAUAUGAUACGCCAUAAAUUUACUUGUUUAGGUUUUAUUAUUGAUGACUCUUGGGAAUUUUCUAUCUACGACGUGUUUAGAGGUAUAAUAAAGAUGAGUGAUUAAGAUGUUGGAAGAAAAUACUGUUGUUUCACAUGUCUUACAAUUACAAGCAUAAAAGAUCUGAUAAUGUAUUAAAUAAUCAACCAUACGAAACAAAUGAAGAAUCGAAUUGAGAGAAACACAUAACAAAACUUAAUUGAACGAUUGACUACCUAUGUUAACAAUAAUAAUUAACACUUGAUUUGCCCUGUUAAAUUAGUUAGUUGCAAUGUCAAAGAGUUUGCUAGAAUAAUUGCCAUCCCAUACCUAUAACUAAUAAUUUAUACACACUCCCAUUAAUGAAACAAGACACAUCGCAUGAAUCUUAUGAUCUAUUAUUACUCAAAUAUAUAUUAUUUAAUAUCUUUCUUUUAUUAUCUCAAGAAUUGCUACUAUAACUUCUCAUUCUCUUUUUAAUUUUUGUAUAUUUUACUAUUUGUAAUUUUUUUUUCUUAAAAGGCUUGAAUUUUAUGUUUGUUUUAAUAACCUUUAUUAUUUUUUUUAGUUUAAGCUAUUAAGAGAUAUUCAAGUCAAAAUAAAGAUGUGAGAUGUGAGUUCAAGUUCAAAAAAUCAAUAUUAAAAAAAGUAUAGUUACGUUGAGUGUGCAUUGCAAAAUGAAAAUGUUAAUGCAUCAGAGUUUAGGUCGAACAUCAAAACUGGUUACAGCCCCAAAAACAUCAUUGACACCGUAUCCGGUGCCAUCAAAUGUAUCUAGAGAUAUUUGACUACUGACUUAUAAAUAGUCCUAUUUGACUACGGCAAAUAGAGAGAGGUGAUCGUCAGGCGUGAAAUUCAAUCUUACGUUUUUUUCAUGCUUAAUUGAUUUAGCCAUACUAGACUUAAGCAAUUAGAAUGCACUUGACACUACUGCAGUCUAAAAGAUCUCUUACACAAAUUAGCUUAAGCAAGAUAUGGAGAAAAACUAAUAGGAGAUCAAGUUGAUUAAAACGCCCCAAGUAACAAAUGGAAUGUGGAUAAGAUCCAAAUUUACAGACACAAACCUCAUAAAAAUGACGGAUUUGGUUUACCUGUAAAUAGUUUAGUUUUAGAUAUAUGGUGGGAUGAGAUGUUAAUGUAUGUAUUGGAACCACUUUUGAUUAGUUGAUUAAUUAUGUUAGUCAGAAAAUUAAUAAUAAUGACCCAAAAUUUUCUUUUUGAAAGUAUGAAAUGUAAAGUGGCCAUUUUAAAGGGUUCUUUACGGUAAAGGAUUAGAAUAGACGUUUUAAAGUUUAAGGAAAGAAGAGAGAUUUAAAUCAUGUUUGAAACCCUACCCAACAAAUCAAAUUACCAAUUUGGCUCUUUAAUUAGUUUCAAUCAAUCUCCACAAUUUCAAAAUUUUCAAAAUAAUCUAUACAAUUCAAGUUCAAUUUAAACUUGAUCUCCUCCUUAAUUCCCACUUGAUAUUGACUAUUUUUGUUCCCACUUAAAUUUUGUAAUUUAGUUAUGUUCCAUCUUAAUUUUUUUAAUUAUGAUUUUCACUUUUAUAAAAACUUUUGAACUUUUAAACAAACCCUUAAAAAGUAAUAAGUUUUUUAAAAUUAUAAAUUUUAUUUUUCAAAAAUUGACUUGAAUAGAAGUAGUGUUAUUAAGUUAUGAAAUUAGAUUAUAAGUUUCAAUUUCAUGAAUACACUUCACUAAACUUUAGGUAGCACUGGUAAAAUAAUUGAAUUGGUGCAGUAUGAAAUCCACAAAUUUUGUUAUAACUUUUGGUGAGUACUAACCAUAAAAGUAAAAUUAAGAAACAUAAUAAUGUAAAUAGAAAAGAGGGGAUUAAUAGGGAGGUGAAGAAAUAAGAUGAAAAAUGAUCCAUGAUAUGGAGGUUUAAGCAAAGGAAGGAAGUUGAAAAGAAUAGGUAGGGAAAAUAAGAAAAGGAAGGAAGGAAGGAAGUUGGAAAGAAAAAAGAAAAAAUAGAAAUGAAAAUGAUGAUUUAAGUGAUAAUAAAAGAAGGAAAAGAAUAAAAGGAAGUAUUAAACAAAACUAGAAAAGAGAAUAAAGGGGAAAGGGAGGAAAGAAAAGAAAGUGCAAUAAAAGCGGUCCAAGUUGACAAAAUUUUUGUAAAGAAAUGGGUUUUAGUUUUACACUCAAAACACAAAACAACAGUCAAAUUAUGGGAGACCAAAAUUCAGUGAGUCAACUCGUUCCUUAUUCCCCGAGUCUUAAAUUCCCAUAACCCGGUCAAUUAUUUCUCUCUUCCAAUUAUUUAUUUAUUUAUUUAUUUUUAUUUUUAACCUAUGAAACUAAACUAAUAAUAAAAAUGAAAAAAAAAUCUCUCUCUUUUUUAAAAAUAUUUUGAGGGUUAUAUUUAUUAAACAUACAAUAAGAUGUAACCCUAAAUGGACCCCACUUUCUGAAACUUAACCACACAUUACAAAACCAUAGUUAAAGUUUAAAAAGAAAAAGAAAAGAAAAAACACCCAACAAACUUAACUUGGGUUUACAAGCACCACCACAAAGCCCAACCCCUCGUUUUAUUUUCUUUUCUUUUUCAAAUAUUUCUAAUUUUCUUUUCUUUUUUUAUUUUUCCUUCUAAAUUUAACAUUAUUAUUAUUAUUAUUAUUAUUAUCAACAGUCAUCACUGCUCAUCAUCAUCUCCUUUUUUCCUCUUCUUCUUCAUCUUUCUUCUUCUUUUUCUGUCUCUCCUUUUUCUGGUUUCUCUAUUUUCAAACCCAUCUCUUCUCUAAUUUUCCUUUUUCCUACCAAUUUUCUCCGCAAACAAACACAAUUUCACUUCCGCUUUUCAACUUAUACCAAUUUUAAUCUUUGUUUUCAUUUCUUUUUUGUAAAGCGUUUUUAGUGAGACUCUUUUAAGACUGUGUUUUUCUCUGUUUUUGGUUGUGUUUUUUUUUUAUUCUUUUUUUUUUUUUUUUUUUAGCUUUUUUUUUUGGUUACCCUAAAUGUUUGAGCUAUGGACCUGACUCCUGCAAUUUCCACCGCCGCCGCCACCAUUUCCACCGGUGGAGGAGCUGUGAAAUCCCCUGAAUUAGAAUCCGAAACACCCAUCAAAAUCCAACCCACCACCAAAUCUCACCCCUUCACCAACGGCGUCCUCAAGCGCCACCACCACACAGCGCCGCCCCCUCCUCAGGUGGUUUACAAAGAAUGCCUCAAAAAUCACGCCGCCAGUUUAGGCGGCCACGCUCUAGACGGCUGUGGUGAGUUCAUGCCAUCCCCAACCGCCACCGCCACGGAUCCCACCUCCCUCAAAUGCGCCGCUUGCGGCUGCCAUCGAAAUUUCCACCGCCGUGAACCGGAUGACCCAAUCGCUACUCCAACGACAACCCAUGUCAUUGAGUACCAACCCCAUCACCGUCACCACCCGCCGCCUCCGUCUACGGCGGCGGCGGCCCAUCGGAGUCCGAGUUCCGCAUCUCCUCCUCCGAUCUCCUCAUCGUACUACCCUUCCGCACCCCACAUGCUUCUAGCCCUCUCCGGUGUGCUGCCGGAGAACGCUGGGGGCGGCGGUGGAUUCCACCACACGAUUCUGACUCCGAGUCCUAAUUCGAGAAAGCGAUUCAGAACGAAAUUCACUCAAAAUCAGAAGGAGAGAAUGUACGAAUUUGCGGAGAAAGUAGGAUGGAAGAUUCAGAAGCGAGACGAGGAUAUGAUUCAAGAAUUCUGCAGCGACGUCGGAGUUGACAGAGGGGUUCUCAAAGUUUGGAUGCAUAACAACAAAAACACCCUCGGGAAAAAAGACGGCGGCCGGAAUAUGAACGGCAGCGGUGGCGAAGGAGACGGCGACGAGAAAAUUAACGGCGGUGGCGAACCACACGCCACAACAAAUGGGUCGUCUUCAUCAUCUUGAUCUGAAUAAAUUGUUCGAUGCGAUGUUAGAGAGAAAAUCAGAGAUAGAAGAGUAAGCUCUUUUUUUUAAUUAUUAUUUUUAUUUUUAUUUUUAUUUUUUUUGCUCCUCUUCUUUAAAUUUUAAGUUCAUUUUCUAAUUACAUUUCAAUAUCUAAAUUUCCCACUCCAAAAUAUUUUCUAAUUUUGUCUUUAAUUAAAUUAACGAGAAGAACACCUUGAUAAUAUAUGCUGAGAAUUUAACUUAAGGAAUAAUAAUAUGUAUAUAUAUAUAGACAUAUGUAGCUCAUCAUCUUCAUCAUUAAUCCAUCUAAUUACUUCGAUUAAAUUUCUUAAUCAUUUUCCCCUUCUUGCUUAAUCUCAUUAAUCCUAAUAAUUAAACAAGAACAUCUUCUGGAAAUCCCAAAUAGUAUUACCAAACAAAUUUUCUUUCUUUCUUUCUCUCUUUUUAGAUGUUAUUAAUUGUUAUGAAUCUGAUUUAGAGAGAGGAGAGAGAGAGAUAUAUAUUUCUUAAUUUCUGUCUGAGAGAAAGCAGCAGAAAGUGUUUUUGUUCCUUUAAAUUAUUCUACACUAUCCCAAAUAUUUGAACACUGUAUUUUUUUUUUCUUAAAAAAAUGAAUUAUUGUAGAAAAUAUUAAUGAAAUAAUCCAUAUGAUUAAGAGAGAAUAUUUAAACGUUUAACAAAAAUAAUAAAGAAAAAUAUCGUAAUAUUAGAAAAAGUGUGAGAAUCCCUUCAGUGCUUUUUAAUAUUCUUCAAAGUGCAAACAAACAAACAAAAGCAUAGCAAUCUUUGUUCUUGUUUCUUAGCUUUUGGGGGUUUUAUGUAAAAAUAAAUCAUGAGAAAUAUUAUUAAUCAAAAUGAAGAAGGAGAAAAAAAAAUGAACCCUGACAUUUUAACAAUUAUUGUUUAUGGAAUCCAUAUAUACAAUCCAAAGUUAUAAUAUAAUUUUAGAUUAAGAAAUAAAUCAAUCAUUAGGGUUUUAGAUUUUACUUUUCUUUUUUAAUGUUUGCAUGUGGCAAUUAGGGAAUUUGUUAAAUGAACUUCCCUUUUAAGGUAAGCUUAGAUACUAUAUUUUAUUUGUGUAUUGUUUGAUUGAAUAUAUAAUAGUGAUGAUGGGAGUUGUACUUUCAAAUGUCUUGUCUAUUGAUUUGCAUUACCACUUUUAAGCUUUGUUUAAUCUUUUCAUUAUUAAAUAAUUAACCUUGAGUCAUCCCUAAUCUUUGUCUUUUUUUCUUUAUGAUUGUUAUUAUAUAAUUUUUUAAAGAAAAGUUUUUCAAAAAGGGCCCAAUUUUUGUAACUUCAAGUAGAAGAAGUCUACCUGACAUUUGAAUUUGGUGUAGAAAGUUUAUUGUUAACAAAAUAUGCCUUAUAUUAUAUAUUAUUUUAAUAUCUUAGUUUAAAUUAAAUUGUUGUUUUAGUUUCUUAAUCAUAUCUCAGCCUAUGUGGCUUCAAUAAUCAUUAUGUCAACCUAUUAAUGGUAAUUGUCAUAUACAAUAAUACCCUUUUCUUUAAAUCAAGAGUUUAUUGGAUAACAUAUUAAUGAACAUGGAAUGUUAAAUAAUUGACCAAAAAAUAAUACGAAUUAUGGAAAUGUUCUCAUCUUUCUUAGUGUUACGGAUUUCAACAAGUAUUUUUCAAUUGUGCGAGAGGACUAAAAUUAAAUAAACAUACAAAAAAUACUAUGUUUUAAAUAUGUGCUUUAAUUUGUGAAUUCUCAUAGCUUAAUUGGUAUGAGACAUACAAUUAUAAGUUGAUUGAUGGGUUGUGUUUUCCAUUUUUAAAAUUUUGUUUUCUAUAAAAUAAAAUAUGUACUAACCCUCUAAUUGAUCUAUACCAACUGACAAUUGUUGGUUUGUUCAAAUCACUGUCCUUACUCGUUUGGAUCAAUUUUCGGUGAAUUUGUAUAUGUUUGUAACAUAUUAGUACUCUAGUUGAUUACAAGAUCAAAUAUUGAUAGGGAUCACUUGCUAAGAUGUUGAAAAGAGAGACUAUUAAAGUUGGUUUGAUAUAUAUACCCAUCUUGGAUUGAGAGGGGAGACAUUUCAAUCUUUGUUGGCAUAAUCAAACUUGAUAGAUAUCAUUUGUGUCUUUAACAAUCCAAACGUUAAUCUUUUUUAGAUAAAAACAAUAUGGGUAUAUGCAACUACCUCGAUUGUCAAGAGUUUAAGUGAAGUCUCAUUUGGUAAUGGAAUCCUUUAUUCUUAAAUAUGUCAUUUGUUAGGUUAACUUUUGGUUUUAACAAAGUUUGAUUCUCUUUACAUAAAAAAAGUGGAAGUCGAAUGAUUGUUCCUCUAAUAUUGAUGAAUGAACUACAUGCCAAUUACAAUUGAACUAGGCAUAUUUCGUCAAAUAACUAUUAACAAAAUCAAUACUUAUUUAUGAAGAAUAUAGCAAACAACUAUUAUUCAAUGAUAGUUGAUAUGAUAUCUAUGACAGUUGAUUACUAAUAUAAGAAAAAUCAUUUUGUUGAGAUGUGAGAAUGCGAUUUGAUUGAAAGUUAGUAAUCAAGACCAACUUGCCAAGAUAUACAUCUUUCAUUAUCCAUUUUCUACCGUAGUUUUAAGUAUCAACCUAAACAAAUUUUUGAAAACAUAAAAAAAAGUAAAGAUCAUAUUUUGGUAUGAAUUUCAUUUGAGUUUAUUAUUAUUAUUUUGAAAUGUAGGAUUGUUUUUUCCCUCAAUUUUUCAACCAUAUUUUUUAGAUAUAUCAAAAAGCAACACUUGAACUCCUAAUUAAAAUUUAAAACUAUAAACAAAAUUUUGAAAGUCAAUAGUUUUAAAAAAAAAUUGGGGAGCAAAACAUAGAAAUUUGAAAGUAAAACUAGUGUUUAUAAGUUUAAUUUGCAAAAGCGUAAUCAAGUAAGAUGAAUUUACUUAUAGAUAUAUAUAAAAGGGAUAUUUCAAACAUAGCAAAAUAAAUUAAAAUAUUUAUAAAUUAUAACAAAAUUUUGGAUUCUAUCACUGUCUAUUAAUGUCACUGAUAGAAACAUAUCAGUGUCCAUCAAUGUCUAUUAUUGAUAACAUUUAAAAAUUUAACUAUAUGUUAUCAAAUUUGCUAUUGUUGACAAUUUUCUAUAUAAAAUUUGACUAGUAAUUUUAAAAAAAUUAAACAAAAGUGAAAACAAAAACAAGAUUAUACAAAUAUCAAGACUAGCUUAAAAAACGAAAUUCUAUUCAAACCAAAGGAGACAAUUCUAUAUUUAUUAUUUGUCACUUUUUCUUCCAUUUGACUUGUAUUGUGUAUAUUUUCAUGGUAUGUUGUAUUUUGAGAAUCUAAAAUAGGUGUUUGAAUAAAUAUUGAAAAGUUUCACCAACAUAAGUUUUUCUUUUAAUUGAAAAGGCACCUCUCCUUCAUUGUGUCCAAAGUACUUAUUUUUCAUGAUCACGUUUAUUUUUAACAAAACCAUAAAAUAUUUUGCAAAAUCAUGAAGCUCUUUUGACUAGUUUUGUGUUUUUUCUUUUCAAAAUUAUUUUCUAAGAACAUAUGAUGAAAAAAUUAUACAUUUUUUAAACAAGUUAAGAUGUUUAUAUAUUAAUAUUAAUUUAUACGUGAUUUAAUAAAUAAAUAAAUAAAUAACUAAAAGGAGAAGAGAUAUGUUUGAUGAUGGAAACUUAAUAGAAGUUGUAAAGAAGAAGAAAAAAGAGAGAGAUGGGAAUUUUGGAAAGAAAGGCUACAAAAUCCCUAGUUGGUGAAGAGCAAUAAAGUUGGAUUGGCCUACUAAAUCCCAUCCCUUUAACCCUCUUUUUCUUCAAUCCAGCUGUUUUCAUGUACUUUCCUUUUGCUUUCAUACCCCAUACCCAUAUCUUGCAUAGUUGCAUAUGCAUGUGUGACUACCUACAAAAGGUAUUUUGUAGGUUUUUUCUUUUCUUUUUCAAUAACCAAAUAUCCAUUCUUAUUAUUCCAAUUAAUUAAAUACUCCCUUCCAAAUACUAUUUUACUUAUCACUUUAUUGUUCCAUUCUUCUUUUUUUGUCCUUUCUUAAUAAACUCUCAUUUUCUCAAACUAAGUUUCUAAGUUUCAUCUCCACUUCAAUAAUUCUUGUAUUACAAAAACUAAUUUCUCCAAUCAUUUCAAAUUAGAUACUUCCUAUAUUAUUAAUUAAAAUUAACUAUUUUUUUUCCUUUUAAAAAAUAUAUACUUCUACUUCUACUUCUACUUUCUUUCUUUCUUGCUUCCUAUAAUCUUUUUAAGUUAUAAUUAUUCAAACAACCAUGUUCUUUCUUCAAAGUUAGCAUGUUAGAUUAUGCAUUUACAGAAUGUAUGACAGUAAGUUUAGUUUCUUUAAUUAGAAGAUGUUUUUCUUUCUUUUUCAAAUUAACAAUUUGUUACUUUUAUAAUCUACUAUUUCAAAUCUUAACUAAAACUACAAAAAAAAAAUAAAAAAGGAAAAUGAAGGGUUAAUUCAAUAGUAAUUUGGAGUGAAAGGGAAGUUAGAGAAAGUUAAUAAUUAGGAAAACCUAAUUAGGGAGUGGGAUGCAUAAGUUGGAAGUAAUUAUGAAAACUUGGUGAAGAAGGGGGGGGAUGAGGGUUUAUAAUUAUAAUUCGAACUUAGUCAUUAUCUGUCCCUUUGCACUAUUGUUUGACUAUGACCUUCCAAUUCUAUGAUUAGAAAGUUGUAAGUUUGAAGAACCUUACACAAACACACAACCCCAUUUGCCCAUUAACUUGAUGGUGACCAAAUAUGUGUGCCUCUUUUUUGGACUUCCAAAACCUUGCCAUUUUUAUUUUCUUCUACGAUGUUAUAUUAUAAACAUUUAUUAUCAUCAUCAUAAAAUCAAGUAAAUUAAACACUAAAAAUAAUAUUCUAGACCUUUAGUGAAUUCAGUUCAAUCUUAAGUGUUCCUUUUAUAUUAUCAAAUCCACACAUCAUCAAAUGGAUUAAUAGAAUUUGACAACAAAGUAUUGGAUUUUUAUGAUUUUCAUGGAUAACUUUUAUGAAUUUCAAUGUAUCCCAAAUGGUUUGUUAGUAGAGAUGUUCACAAGUCUCUUUUUCUAAUGAUACAACACGUUAUCUCACACAAAUUGAAAAUUACUAAUAUAUGAAACAUAAUUAUAUGUUUUAUAAUUAAAUUAAUUUGUUGUCGUAUGCACGAUUAAGAAAUAAAUAAAAAGUUUACAUGGAAUAUAUAUAUUAUCAUGAACCCAUAACAUUUAUGGUCUCAUUUCAUUUUUUUUAGUUUCUUUUUCUAUUUUUCUAUUUAUGUUUUUUGCACUUUCUUUUAACAUCAUUCACACUUCCUUGAGAGCACAUUUGAAUUGUAGGAUAAGAAAAAAUUGUAUACAUAAUAUCAAGUUGUUUAAAAUAUAUAUAGAGAUGUUAAAAAAGUAGAUGAAAGUAAAAAAAAAAAAAAAUUAUAGCACUGAACUAAAAUAUUUGUUAAAAUAACAAAAUUAUAGUGUAUAAUCACUAUUAGACUGCAACCUUUUAUUGUAUUCAUAAAUAUUUUCGACAAUUUUAUCAUUCAAAAUAAUUUUUUUAAUUAACCUUUUUAUUAUAUAUUUGAUUGUUUGAUCAUCUUAAAUGCUUCAACAAUCCAAAAAUAUCAAAAUAUCACUAAAGAUUGCUUUUUAGCAACUUUUGAAUAUUUUGGAUAGGUUGAAUUUGUAGAGUAUGUUUAAAGGUGAUUAAAUCAUGGUUAAAAUUAUUUUUAAAAUCGCUGAAAAAAAUAUAUUCAAUAUCCAUUUAGGUUUGAAGAUAAAAAGUAUAAAAUUAAAUAUAUAUUAAAUUAACUUUUAAGUGAUUAUAUACAUAUUUCAUAAUGAAUUUAAACAUAACAAAAAGAAAAUCAUUCUAAAACUAUUUAUAAACUAUAGUAAAAUGUAUAACAUAACCUAUUUUAAAAGAAUUUUACUAGUUCCGUCAUUUUCUUUUACCUAUAAGAAUUUCUAUAACAUUUUAAAGAUUUUAUAUUAAUUUAAUAUUUUGAGGUUGAGAUGUAAUGAAUAUAGUAAGUUAUAGAUGUGUAAAAUAUUGUAAAAAUUGACGGGUAGAAUGUAGUAAGUUAGAGUCAAUUUGAUUAUGGAAUUGAUGUGUAUUAACUAUUAAGCUGCCUUGAGAUUGAGAUUGUGAGAUGGAGUUUAAGUACCCUCCAUUUAAGAAAAAACAACUGUUUUGGGUUAUACCAUAUGUUAAUUAUAUUUAGUCAACGCUUAAAGUUUAGACAUAUUCUAUCCUUAAAAAAAACAAAAAAAAAAUAAAAAGUUGGACUUAUUCUUAUAUUUUGGGAUAUUUAAAUAACUCGAUAAUCUCAACAAUUUGAAACACCUUAUCUAAGGGUUGACUUAGCUUUAUAUUAUUUGAGUUUAAUCUAAUCGAACUUUUUCCAUUUUUGUGGGGUUGAGCUAUGCUAGGAUUCAAUCUUUUUUAUCAAAAUAUUUACAAAAUAUAACAAAAUUAUCAAAGAUAAACACUAGAAAUUGAUAGAAGUUUAUAUUGGUAUCUAGUCUAUAAAUGUUUAUCAUCUAUAGAUUAUGAAAUUUUAUUACAAUUACAAUAAUUUUCCACAUAUAUAUAUAUAUUUCUUCUUUGUGAGAUGAAUUUAGGAAUUGUGUAUGUUUUUCUUUCCACCAUGUUUGUUUUUGUAUCAAAUUUGUAACAAAUAUUACAUAUAUUUGGUAGGUAAGAAUUGAGUUUUAUGAAACUUUAGUUAUUAGACAUGAGUGGAGGAUAAGUUUCAAUUUUUUUUAAAAAUGACGUUCUCUAAAAAAAAUAUGAGGUAAACGAGAAAGUAUUGACAAAAAUAGGAUAGCAAAGUCGUGUACACGGUACAAAAUCGGCUUACCUGUCCAUCUUGUGUGGCUGUCAACACUGUCAUGUUGUUCGACAUGCAGGACGGAAUUAGGUGCACGACUUUAGGAGGAAAUUAUGUACUGGAUAUACGACUUCUCCAAUUUGAAAAUCCUAGUCACAUACCAUUUUUCUUUCCAUCUUUGCUUCAAAAAAAAAAAAAAAAAUCUCCCUCCCUCUCCCCCUUUGCGUAGCUACCAUCGUCACGAUCCCCCUCUUUGUCUCAUUCAUCAUUCCACUGUUUAUCAUUGUUUUAUUAGGAAUUUUAGGGUAUGAUUGUUAGUAUAUAACUAUCUAAAUGUAUAUUAUUAGCAAUCCUGAUCCCCUCUUUGUCUCGUAUGUCAUCCCCCAUAUAUAACUAUCUAAAUGUGUGUUAGUAUCCAAUCGCUUCCAAAUUUUGCACUAAUAAUUGUUAAGGAAAUAUAGUUACUUUUUUUACAAAAUUAAAAUUUAUUUGAUCAAAAUGAACUUAAUUUAAUAGAAAUAAUAGACAUUAUAUUUAUUUAUCAGUUUCAAAGUAAAGUUAAAGAUUCGAUUAUUCAUCUACAUCAAAUAAACUAUAAAUAUAAACACGUAUUUAUCGUCAUACCAAACAAUAUUUUUUUUGAAAAAGAAUCUCUAUAAAACAACAAUAUAAUAUUCUUCUUUUUUUUCCUUCACAAAAGUUGGAUCCUUUGUGUAAUAAAAAACAUAUCGCAUUAUGCCUCUAUUUUCUUUCACACAAUAAGUUUCUUUAAGUAUAAAAUGAUUUCGACCCUCCAACUUUUAUUUCUCUUAUUUCUUAUCUUCUUAAAUCUCGAAUUUUUGUUUUUUAGUAUAUAAUAUCACUAUUUUUUAGUUGACCUCAAUGAAUUUAUCCUUCUUACCAUAUUUUAUAUAAUAUAGAUCUACAUCCAUUAUAUUGGAGAUUAGGUAGUCACCCAUAAGAUUUAUGCUUAAUUUUGCAUACUUUAUUUUUUUAUUUAUUUAAUUUUGUAACAACUGUAAACAAGACUAGAUUAAAGCCAAUAAUGAAUAUUCGACUUUACCCUUUAGUUAAAUUUCACAUUUAAUUCUGUCACACUCGAUUCAUAUUUUUCAAAGAGUUUUUAAUAUAUAUAUACAUUAAAAUUGUUGGAAGGAAAAUUGCAUCAAAUGACAAAAAAAAUUAGGAAAAAAACCUCCACAUUUCUUUUUUACAUAUUGUGACAAAUAUGACAAGUAAUAAAUGAUAUUAGAUGGUCAUUAAACAGUUAUCAGACAACUAUCGUAGGACUAUUAGAGGGUUAUCCACUUUUAAAUUUGCUACUUUUGUAAUUUAGAAAAUGUAGUGACAUAUAUUCUAUCAUCAUAUUUUUUUUUUUUUGCAAUUUUUACAAAUAUCCCUUAUUUGAAUGGAUUUGUGUGUAUUUGUAUUAUUUCUAUUUUUCUCAUGUUUUUAUGAAACAUAUAUUAAUAUUCAAUAGUGUUGUAUUUUCUCAUUUUUUGUUUUUUUCGAGAACAAAAAUAAAAACAUUAUUUUAUAUUAUUUUAUUUAUAAACUACGUACACAACAAAUAUUAAUAAAAAUGAAAAUAUGUAACUUCACACACGUUACUUGAAAUUUUUAGAUUUUUUCUAAAAUUUAAAAAUUCAAAUAGAAAAGACCUAGAUAUGUGAUCUCUCUUCUAGAAUUAGUUGAUAGUAACUAAUUGAGAUGUUCAUGUGUACUUGUGGAUCAUAUAUUUACUUCUAAUACUUUGUUAAAAAAGAAAAAUCUACUCGAUAAAAUUUUCUUAACCUCAAUCGUAUUUUAAAAAAAUUGAAAGUCGUUUAAACACAAACACUAAUUUUCAUAAAACUAAACAAAAAAAAAGUACAACUCUAAGUACAUACACAUAUGAAUAAGUAGCAUAGAAGAUUUAGAGAUCUAAUAAUUAAAUUGAGUUGCAUGUGAUUGUUGGAAUCUAAUAUGAUUUGCAUAAGAAUUGUAUGAAAUGAAAUGGUGAUAGAUCAAAUCAAAAGUGUUGAAAAAUAAACUUUAAGUCCCCUCAACAAACUAUUAUCAUUGGCCUAUAUAUAUAGAUGAGAGGGAUAUAAGUUAAAAGAAAGCCUAAAUUGGCAUGAUAGUAAUAUAGACAAAAAUCAUGUGAUAAAUUUGAUGAUAAAUAGAAAGAAAGAGAGAGAUGACUUUAUAAAUCCAACAAAUUAAAGCUAACAAAAUAUAUGCAUAACAUGUGGUGUGGGGUAAAUAAAUACAAAAAUUAAUUGCUUUUUAAUAUGUGAUUAUAAGAGAGACACAUGACUUUGCUUUAAUUAAUUGGUCUAAAUCAUCUACAUAUCUAUCUUCUUCUUCGGAUUGAAAAAAAAAAAAGAAGCCAAAAUUCCUUUCUUUUCUUUCUAGCAUAACUUGUACCUUUACUAUUUGAUAAUAAUUUUGUUUCAAGUACGAUACUUUUCUUUUAUUUAACAAAAACAAAAAAGAAAAUUAUAGUGGAAAGUAUCAUUUGAAAAGUCUCGUUAAUUCAUUUUUUAAAAAUAAGAAAAACAUUUAUUCCUUUAGAGUAAAUAUUAAAAAUUAUUGUAGAUAUAUAAUUUUAAAUUUUCUACGUUUGCAAAUAUAACAAAGAAGAUAUAGCAAAAUGCAAAAUAUAUAUAUAUAUAGCAGUAUCAUGUAUGUUAAUAUAAAUUCUAAAUUUUCACAAACUCAAACAAUUAGAUAUUCCAUAAACUUUUGUUUAAAGAAAAUUCGUGCAUAUGAAUUCUCAAACGUACCGACUUCUUUCAAGUUUAGUUUAAGAAAAUAGACAAUUAGAGUAAAUGAACAGAUAAUUUUCAAAAACAAUUAUUUUUAAAAGUCUAAAUUAAUUCAUUCCAAAAAAAUUUGAUGGAUUUAUUUGAUACAAUUUGUAAAGGAAAUGUAAUAAAUGGUGUGAAUAGAUUUAUUUUAAAAAAUUAAGAAUUUUAAAUAGAUAUAAUUUGUAAAGUACUUGAGAGAAACAAAUUGAUAUUAAAACAAAAAAACAAAAAAAAAGGUUAUGAAACCUACUUAGUCUUUAAGAAUGGGAUAAAAAAGAAGACAUAUAUAAGAAUAUAAUGAAACACAAAACCUAAAUUUGCAAAAGACUUUUUUAAAAAAAUGAAAAGAGAAGCUUAAUAUUCGAAAAGGUGAAAGAAAAAUAGGAACGAAUUUGUGGAUGAAAAGAACUUAACCUUUUAUUUUAAAAUGUAACAUUUGAAUGAGGUUUUAAAAAAUAGAAAGAGAAAUAUUACAAAAUAAAGAAUGAAAAUGUUUAUUAAAUAAGAAUUAAAAAGUCAAUAUGAGGACCACAAAUUAUUUAUAUAUGGAAUAAAAAUGGUGCAUUUUAGUAAUGCUGUGGUCCUUUUUUCUUUUUCUUUUUUUCAAUUUUAUUUUACUUCUUUUAAAUCCUCAUAUCUCUGACUUCCAUACCUAUUAUAUUCUUUCAAGAUAAAUCACCUUUUGAUUUUGCAGAUUUCUCAAAAUUCCUUUUUCCCCUUUCUCCAUUUCUUCAAAAUUUAUUACUAUAUUGGAAAAUUCAAUUAAAAAACACUUUUAUGAAAGGGUCUAACUAACACCAUGUUUCAAAACAUGACUCAUAAUAUAAACACAACACUAGCUGAACUAGAUAUGUCAAAUUAAUUACAUAUUAUCUAGGAAGAGUUAGAAGAUAAGACAAAAACUAUAUUGCUAUAUGUAUGAACAUAUAUAUAUAAUGAUAAUGGUCCCUGGGACAAGUUUUUGAAUCUUUAAAUUAAUUAAGAGGAAGUUGAAAAAGAGUUAGGUAUUUAUGUUUACGGCUUCCACAAUUAUAGACAUUGAAGUGGUUGAAAAAAAAUGGAAGAAGAAUAUUUAGUAAAACAUAUAUUUAGUCAUCUUUUUUUAGAAGAGAAUAUAUAUUGUAGUUAUGUUUGAAAUACUAGUUAGUACUAUAUUACUAGUGUUAUUCCUUAGCUUCUUGUGACCGUUGGAAACAUCAUAUUAGUACCACUUCACAUGUAUAAGCCUCUGCGCAUUUAAUAGAAAUCAAACAGAUAAUGAAUGAAGUUUGGUAGAGAAAAAUGGACCACUUCCUCUCUGUGUUGGAUCAACCCAAAAUUAACUCUCAAAUUCCCUUCUCUCCCACAUUUUUUAAGCCAUGUUGUAGUAACAUCGGAAUAGCCGGUUAUUUGUCAAACUUCUUCCAAUGCUAACAUAAAUAGCAUUUUGGGAGACGACAGGUUAUCUAAUUCUCUCUAUGUAUCUUUACUAAUCUCCAAAUACCGAACAUUAUACAUAUUCUCUUCACCUCAAUUUAACUCACUACCUACCAUUUAGAGAAGUAGGUUAUAUAUAUGAUGACUCUAGCUUUGAAUGGUUGUGGUAGUGGAUUGGUGAAGCAAGUGUAUGCCUUCAAAUUUAGUGAGAUUAAAGGGUUAUUUUCUCAACCUUCUCCUCUACUCUUCCAGAAUUUUGGGUAAACAUUCAUCUUUCUUCUCUUUCAUCUCAAAAGGGGUAGAUUUGAGCUUUAAUAAGCUGAGCAACAUAAGUAUAUAGUAUGGAGAAAAGGUAUAGUUUAUUUUUUUCCUUCUAUUCUUUUCAUGUUUUGAAAUUUUCAAUUUUAGGUUGCUAUCAAAUUUAGUUUAGGUAAUUUGGAUAGCUUUAGGAGUUAGAAAUUUUCCCUAUCAUUUGAUAUAUAAAACCUUUUUUAAAAUACUCAAUCAUUAGAUAAAAUCUUGUGAAAAAUAAAUCUUUAAUUUCUCACUUUUGAGAAUUGGUAAUAGUUAGUCUAAAAUAACUAUUAUUUUUUCUCACUCAACUUCUAAAAAAUUUAUAAAUAUUUUACGAACCAAAUUUGUUUAGGAAACAAAUUAAAACACAUAUAUAGUAUCAAACUAGUUAUGUUUACAAUACAUUUCUUCAAAGUACGAGGGGUUUCUCUUUUUUAAUUUUUUUUUUUUUUGUUAAAUUAGAAUUGAUACAUUCAAUUUUUAUACUUUUUUUUACAAAUUUUCAAAUGUCGAAUUAGUAAAAUACAUAGACAAGGUUUGAAGAAAAACUUAAUUGUGAGUGUUUAAAUUAACCCACUCUGUAAAAAUUUAGGAGUUUGAUUAAUAAAAUGAUAAAUCUCGUCUGCAAUGUUUAUACAAAUAGAACACAAUGAAAGAUAUUAAUUAAUAACUUAAAGAUAUUAGAAAGAUUAAAUACACAUAGAUAAAUAUAUACAUGCACUCAAGUGUGUGUUAAUAUAUAUAUAUAUAUAUAUAUAUUUCGUUUCAUACUCACACAAUUCUCUUUUUCAUACAUUUAUAUAGUUUUAAAUUAACAAGUGCAUGUCAUUCAUCACAUCUAUUCUUCUGUCACCUUAUGUUUUAUUACUAUACCUUGAACGGUCACAUGCUACACCAGUUUGGUAUUAAAAUCAAAUGUCAUUAAUGAGAUGUAUUAGUUGAAUUAAAAUAGCAUUAUAUAUAUAUAUUUAAUGCUAUUUUAAUUCAACUAAUACAUAUAAAAGGUGAUUAUUGUUAUAUUAAUGACUAAAUUAAGUUUGUGGAGAAAAAAAGGGAGAGGGUACUCCGUACAAAGGAUGGAGUGAAAGAGGCCCAAGUUGUUGUUGGGCUGAAAAGGGAAGGGAAGCAAUUGAAAAGACUGAAUUUGUUGAUUGUUGCGUUGUUUACAAAACUUUUUCAGGAGAGGCCCAAUAAUAACUCAUCAUAUGUAUAUUUGAUCCCCACUUGAACCCCUCUUUCAUCCAUCGUCUUUUGCAUCUACUAAAUACACGAAUAAACACAUUUCCAAUCCUUCCAAAAAUUAUCACAUCCCAAAAGUUUAUUGAACUACUUUCGGUAUGUAUUUGAAAAACAAAAACAAAAACUAGUGAUUUUUAGUUUUUCGUUCUAAUAAUUUUGUGGGCAUAUAAUGAUUAUUUUUUUUUUUGGUUAAUUUCAUUUUUUUAAAAAAAAAAUUACGGACCUUCUUAGACAUGGUCAAGAAAUUAUUAGAUAUUUUGAAAUUUAAAGACGUGUUAAACAUAAUUUUUUAAAUAAUGUUAGACAAAAUAAUAAUUAAAAAUCUUACUUAACACUUUCUAAAAUUAAGCUAUAGAGUAACCUUAAAAUUUAAUCCAGAUUUUAUGAGUAUUAAUUCAAUAUUCAUACGUAAUAUACCAGUGAAACUCAUUUAAUGAAAUAAAUAAAUUAGAUUUAGGGAUCUUUUCACCUACAGUAGAAAAAUUAUCAAAAGAAAUAAUUUUAUUGUUUUAAUAUAUUUGAAAAUAAUUUAACAUUUUUGUCUUUUAAAUUUAUAUAUUAAAACAUUCAUUUUUAAAAUAUGCUUAAUUUAUUUUACAAAAACAAUUCAUGAAAAUAAACUAAUGUUUAUGACUAGAAAUAGGAUUUCAUCUAUCAACAGUGACUUACUGACAGUAAUUGAAAAAAAAAGUUUUUUUUCGUAAUAGAUUUUAACUAGCAUUCUUAAUUUAAAGUCUUGUUUAAUAAUUUUUUUCCCUUCCAAAAAGAAUAAAGGAAAAUAAAAGGAAAAGUUGACGAGUUCUAAGAUCAUUCACCACCUUUCUCCUCUCCAAUCAACAUCUCUUAAUUGCUUCCUUUGACUUUGUGGACUUCAUUGAAUUCCUUAGAAAGAAAGUUUAGAUUAUUUCAUUAACUUCUAAUAAAACGAAAAAAAAAAUAAAUCCUUAAAAAUUUAAGACAUAUUUAAAAAUCUAAUGUCGGUAAACUAGUAAUUUAAAUUUAAAACUAUUAUCGUAACUUUACUUUCGAUAUUUUAAUUAUAUGAACUUACUCAACUUGAAAUAUUCAUAUAUUGAGUGAUAUGAAACAUGUGGAUAAAAGAAAGUAUAUUAAAAGAACCAAUGAAAUUGUUAGGUUGUAGGUGAUGAAUUCAUAUUCUAUAUCCUAGAGUUUAGGACGCUACAAUUGUAAUGAUCAUUAAAUCUUCCAUUCAUACUCUUUUUUCAUUGAGUUUAAUUGUUAGAAGUGAUGAGUUGAGUUAAAUAGAAUAGAAAAAAGUAAUGGCGAGAAUGGUAUUUGAAUUAAGCAAUGUAUUUAGUUAUUAAUUGAUCAUAAAAUGUGAUUAAUUGAAAUGAUUCAAGUUGAUGAGAGAAAGGAGAGAAGAUUGAUGGUUGUGGUAGAUGUAGUGGAAUGAAUUUUGUUAAACAAAUCCAAUGUAUGAAGAAUAAGAAGAAAGAUGAUAUGAGUUGAUAUAAGAGGUCACCCUUUUGUUCUGUAUUAGAUAUGGAAUGGAGUAAAGGUGUAGGCUGUAAGGAAAUUUAAAAUGGGGGGGGCGGUGGGGAAAGGAGGGAGAGAGUGGGAGAGUGGGAGAGUAGGAGAGGAGUGUUCUAGAAAGGAACAAGUCUCGACGCAACCUUGAAGACCACUUAGGAUUAUGAUUUAUGAACCUUUGUCGGUGUUGACUAUUUCUUUUCUUCCAUAGUCAAAACCAAAUCCACAUUUUCCAGUUGGAAGAUUUUCAACAAACAAUACAAUACACACUUCACUUCAUCUAUUUAAUGCUUUUCCAUCUCUUUUUUUCUCCAUCACAUCAUUUUCUAUUAUUAAAUAUUAAAUAACAACAACAAUAAUGACCAUCAUUAUCAUAUUAAACAAUAAUAAUAGACUACUCCAAUUACACUUUGAACUAAUCUCUUCAUUCACAAAAACAAUCUAUCCACACUUCAAACAUAAUUUAUAUAAUUAUCAUAUGUCUUUUUCUUCUCAAUUAAUUUUACCAAAUAAUGUCACUUAACUUCAUCAAUUAUUUUCACCAUGGAAUUCAAUUCACCUACCCUAACUUCUAUUAACCUAGCUGGUUCCCAUUUCUUUUAUUUCAUAAGAAAAGAAAAGUUUGGUUGUUGACUAACAUGUUUCAUCACUCAACUUACUCACAAAAAAAAAAGAUAGAAAGGAACUUUGCACCAUGUGUUGAGAUACAUUCUAUGGGUGUAAAGCAUAUGGAUUUUUGUCAACCAAGGGUUUUAUAGCUUCAUAAAUGCUUUCAUCCCCACAAAAUUUUAUAGAUAAUAGCUCUUUUCAUAAAAUAUUUUAUCUCAAAUAUACCUUAUUCAUUAGUUUAUUUAUACUACCGAUACAACAAAAAGAGAGAGACGUACCGGAACAUCUCUAUCAAUUUUAAGUUUAAUUUUUAUUUGGUUCUUAAAUUUUAAAAUAAUUUUGAUUACAUUUGUUGAUUUAAUGUAGAAUUCCAUAUUUAUUUCUCUUUUAUCUUUCAGUUUUGAUUGAUGUGAAAUUUUAAAUUAAUUUUAGGUAAACCAUUUGAAAUUUUAAAUUAAUUUUGGGUAAACUAGUGAAACAAAUUAAUUAUUCUCCAUUUAAUUAUUACUAUUAUUUAAAAUUAGUAUAGCCUAUUUAAAAUUAGUAUAGCCUAGUUUUGUUUUAUAGUUUAUGUCAGGCCUAUCCUAAGAUAAUAUAGUACUUUAAAAACAUUAUAGAAAAUAAUUUAAAAUGAGUGUAUGAAGCAUUUUAUUAAGACAAAAAGGAUUUAUUAUUUUAAUGGGUAAUAUGAUCUCUUGUUUUUACCACCCAAAGCAUAUGAUGGGGAAAUUAAAGUGGGUGUGUUUUUUGAGUUGAAUAUUUUAAAUAUAAAUGCAUAACUAGUUCACAUGCUACACUUAAAUAAGGAUUUCCCAAUCUCAUCUCUCAGACCCCAUAUUAUCUUUAUCAUCCAUUUUUAAUUUCUUUUGCUUCUUAACAUAAAAGCUCAUAAUUUGGAUGUGUUAAAAUAAUAAUAAGAUCAAAAUAAUAUUAUUUCAUAUUUAUAAAUAUAUAUAUAUAUACAGCUAAAGAUGUCAGAAAGAUUUUGUUUGUUUUUUUUUCUCCCCUUUGAUGUGUGACUCAGCUUAAAAUGAUUGGGGUUAGGUUUUUAAUGAUUUAUUUGAAAACACAUGCAAUUGUUAAAAGUAUAUAUUAGGUAUUGGACUAUUGUAUCUCAAUUAUACACACAUAAUUUGGGAAACUAAUCAUAACGAGUUUUUAAAGAAUAAUUAUUUUAAUUGAGUUUAAAAUAAUGGAUAAAAUUCUCUUUGGUUUUGGUUUAUACGGCUGAAAUCCAUGCUCAAACACAUGCUAGUUCUUAAUUAUUAUACAUGUAUUUUCCUUACCAUUGUAUAAAUGGAGGAUUGAACACAAUUGACUUUAAAAGAUUGAUGAGUACAAUAUAAUACUUAAUUUGAGCAUGCUUAAUACAUAUUUAAAACUACAUCAUUAAUUUGUUAAAAUAUAAUAAAUAUAAAAUCAACAAAAAUCAAUUAUUAUUUUAGGUUUAAGAACUAAAUACAUAAUAAUUAAAUAGUUUUAAGAUCAAAAUAUAACACACUCAAACUAUGGCACAAGUAUAAGAGUCUAAUACUUUGAGGGUCAUGACAUCUUAUCAUAUGUGUUUUAUUGUUUAUAAAUUAUAAACUUAGACUCAAUUUCAGUCUUACAUGUUGAACAUAAUAAUAAUAAUAAGACUAUGAUACUAGUACUAAUAAUGAUAAAACAGUGAUACCUAGCUAGAUGAGUAGUUUAUUUGUUGAAUUCACAAAUGACACUAGAAUUGAACUAGUUAUAAAUUUGAUAUAUAAUUAUAACCAAGUAUAUCAACAACUUAAGACAUGAAAUUAAAAUGAAUGAAUAUAAAAAAAAAUGUUAUUUUUGUGAAAAAUAUAUAAGAGUGGAAGGGCUAAUAAUAAUGUUUUAGAACAGUACAUUUCCAGCUGGUUGAGUUUAAAUUAUUGAAUGUAGUAAUAAUGAGAGACAAAUUUUUGUAGAAUAGUUAUUGCAAAAUUGGAUAGUUUUGCUAACAAAUGAGGCUAAUUUCAAAGUGUAGCAGUUUAUGGGCAAGAGUCACAUUUUUGACUUAGCUUAAAAAGUGAUUCCAAAUUUUUCAUUUUAAUAUACAUACAUAUAUAUAUAUAUAUAUUCCAGCUUGGAAUCUAAUUAAUUAAGUUGUGAUAUUUACAAUGGAUGGGGAGACAAAAGUAUUUAAUACUUCCCAUCUCUUUAUCCAACUUGGAAUUACCACACUUUUCAAAACUCUCCAUAAUUGACUGAAUUCUAUGCAAACUCUCUAAUUUAACUUGCUUCCUUUUUCUUUUUUCUUUUUAAUUUUAUUUUAGUUUCUACAACUUUGUAUUUUUGCUCCAUUUUUGUUAUUGAAUUUUUUAAAUAUUUGAUUCAAAUCUUUAAACUUUUAAAAAAGAAUUUAUCAUUAAAUAUUUGUUAACCUUUUAACGAAACUAUGAUGUGACCUUCAAUACUUAGAUUACUUCUUUUAUGCAACACAAAAAUAUAAUCAUGCACACUUGACUCGAGUAAAUAAAUGAAUAAGAGCAAGUUUUGAAAAGUUAAAAAUAUUUUGACUCUUUCGAAAUUACUUCAAAUCUGUCCAAAUUGAUUUUUCUAUUUUGACAAAAUGUAAUGAGAUAUUUUCAUAGGAGGUUAGGACAACAAACUCUCAAGUAUUUUUACGAUGGUAUGAUAUUUAUCUAUUUUAGAUAUAAGUCAUAUUGACUUUGCUUUUGGUAUCAUCUCAAAAGACUUUAUACCAAUUGAGAUAGUUGCACUCACUUAUAUACCCAUGAUCAUUUCUCUAUUUAACUGAUGUGGGACUUUGAUCGAAUUUACAUAGAAGAUUGUUAUCAACCGAUGAGUAAGUAACUAAGCCAUAUUAUAAACAAAUAAACACAAUAUAUUUUUACUUGUUUCGCCCUAAACAUACCUUAUAAAUUUUACAUAAAAAAGAGAGUUUAUUUAGUAACUAAUUUCAAAAUUAAAUGUUUAUCCUAGCUCAAUUUAAAUAUAACUAUAUAAAUGUGUUAGUCACCCAAAAUUUCAUGAUUUGAAUUCUCAUGCUUUUAUUGUACUUUAAAGCUAUUUGAUCAAGUAGAAUUUCAAAAUAAGUGAAAACCUAUUUCAACCAUAUUUGUAUAUGAUUCUAAUUCCUUUUUUGUUCUACAUAAAAGGGGAAUUCUUAAAAUAAGCAAUAAAAAAACAGAUUUCUUAAAUUGUUAUGAAUAAAAAUAAAUAUAAAUUAAUUAAUAAAAUAUAUAUAAAAAAAAACUUAAAUUCAUCUAAAACAUAAGAGUUUGAUGAUCUACCUAUAUUUUAUAAAUAGUUUUAAUAUUUUGUUAUGGUUUGAAAACGUCUCUUUCAAAAAUUAAAUUUUGGUCUAAAUUAAAAAAAUUCAUAAAAUGAGAAAGAAAAACAAAUAGUAUUUAGAGUUCAAUUUUAAAAAGAAAAUAACAUUAUCAAAUAGUGUCGUGUUAUUCCAAAAUUGUUUUCUUAUAUAUUGGUAUGCUCUCUCACAUGAUGUGUGCUUUAGUUGAAUUUUCAAAUUUUAAGUUUAAUAGUUGAGCAGCUUACCUUCAAAAAGAAAAAAAAAGUCUAAUAGAUAAACUUUAAAAUUUAUAAUUAAAACAAUAAAGAAAACCAAUAAAUUUAUUAAAUAUAAAUAUAAAUUUUCAUACAAUAUCUUAACUCUAAACUUUGAUACUAAAUAUAUAGGUAAACUCUUCAUAUAUUAAAAACAAAAUUUAAAAUUUAGAAACUAAUAAAAACGAAAAUAUAUACCUUUUUUUCUAUAAUACUUCAAACAUGUACCAAUAAUGCCUUUACAAAAAAUCAGUUUUUUAGAAACAAGGUUGAAAAAACAAACCUUAUCUAAAAAAUUAAAUAAAAAUAUCAAAACAGCUAUUUUCCAGUUAAUGCAAGUUUUGAUUGAUUUAUUUUUUUCAAAAGGGGUCUUCGAGUUCUGUUCUUUGAUGUGUAAUUAUUCUGUGCAUAAUUAAAUAUAUUUAAUACCUUUUAGUUAAUUUUAUAUAUAAAUUAUAAAUGUGAUUUUAAAUAUAAAUAUCAUUUAUUAAGUCUUUUAGAUUAGUCAAAAUCUCACAUUAAAUUAUGGACGUUGAUAUUACUAAUACCAAAAACAAAAAAUUGAAAAAACCAAUUUCGUUUUUAAAAGUUAUAAAUGAAUAUUUUUUUUCCGUGUUAGAGUAAAUCAAAACAAUGGAUCCCUUGAAUAAAGUUUUCAUUAAUAGCUUGAAUAGACAUUACAAAUUAGAAGUUGUCAAUGACAGUGGACUAAUCAAUAUCAUUAUACAAAUAUAUAGAAAAUAUUUAGCUAGGUUUAAUUAACAUCUAACCUUCUUUUUUUUUUUUUAUUCUAGUUUUGUGUGUGAGAUUCUACCAAUUUUAUUUUAGCCUCUAAAUAUACAAAUCUACACCAUUUAAUACCACUUAGUUCUUUUUUAAUAUAUAUAAAGUAUAAUUAUUAAUGAUAAUUAACAUUAAUUAUAGGAAGUAGUUAUCUUUCCUUUACUAAAUGAGUAGAAUUGAAAUAAAUAAUGUAGAGUAAACAUAACUAAACCAAUAUUAAUAUGUACUAGCAAUUUUAGUUUUGUUUGUGAUCUGGAUGAUUUAAACUUUCUUUUAAUUUUAUAAUUAUGAUCCGGUAGAAGGUUUGAUGUUUACUUGUAUUAUAUUAAAAAUGAGGGGAAAAGAGAUUUAAAAAUUUUGAAAGGAAAAGGAUUUAUUUAAUGGGACCUAAAUAGGUGACUUUUGUCAUAUGUUGACCCUUUAAGCUAUAACUUAAACGGCACUACAACACUAUGAAUGAAAGUUGCUUUGUGCUUAUGGCCAUUGGAAAGAGUAUUUUCAUAAUAAUCUAUAAACUUUUUUUUUGGUUUCUUCCCCUUUGCAUGAGUUCAUUUCAUUAAUUAUGGUUUCAAUUUUAUUUUAAAUGUGUUUUAACUCUGAAAUGUUCUAUUUUAAUCAUUCCCUUCCUUAACAGAUUUAUGCACAAUAUUCAAACUCAAUUUCUCAAAAUUAAGCUAUAUAAUUUUCAAAAUAUUACCAUAAACUAAGGAAGUUCAAAACCCUAAUUAACAAUGAAGUAGUAAAAUAAAUAAAUAAUAAUAAUUGUAAUAAAAUCAAAUGUUAGAACUUUUAGUUACACUAAAUUGUUAGUGUCUAUCAUGUAAAUAGAUAUUGAGUGAUGGUAGUGUCUAUUAUUGUGGAUAGACAGUAACAUCAUUCUUACAAUUCUUAAUAAGCUUGAUAGUUCUUUUCACAAACCAACACAAGUCCUUUGAGUAUCUUUUGUCAUCACUUACAUGCAUCAUAGAAAUAUUUUCAAGAGAUUACCUAAUAUAGAAUUACUCCAAGCUAAGCACGCUUAACUUUAGAGUUUCUAUGAUUGAGCCACCGAAAAAUAAGAUGCACCUUGUUGGUAUAAGUGUUAACUUUUAAGUCUUUCUUAACAUUACUUUCAUGUCUUCAAAAUUUCUCUCAUUCAAAUGUGAUAUCGGUUCAUUCAUGUCUCCCUCCUAAUUUCAGACGUUAAAAAUUCAAACACGGUUUUUCAAAUUUCUCUUUGUUUUUUAUUAAGUUUAAAGAUCAGUUUUUCCUAACUACAUGUGUGUUGUUUGACCAUUGCACUCAAUCAUGGCCCAAGCAUUUACUCCAUGUAGCAACGUAAAGGAUAAAAGAGAGAAAUCACCAAAAGUAAAGCAAAACUCCUAAUUACAAAUCAAAGCAAUGAUCAAUACAAAAAGACGAUUUCACCAUUAAUACAAAAUUGAAGAACAAACUAAUCUUAUCCCUAACCUAAUCAAUUAAGAAUUAAACCAAUAUAUCAUAAAAGUUUCUCUAAUCUAAAAGGCAAGGAGCUUUCCUUUUUCAAAAAUAGAAGGGUUUUUUCAAAAAAUAAUAAUAAUAAAUUUAAAGUGAUCUUAAGAGGAAGACUAUAUCUAUUAGUAGGCGAAUUAAUGAGAAGACAAAGUUGUAUAAAUAGACUUAGAGGUACAAGUUUGAUCUAUAAUAGUUACUUCCAUACAAUUUAAUACCCUACCAUUUUUUUAAUUAAGAAUAUGGGAACAUCACCUCAGAACUCAAGUAUGGAAAAAAAGAAAAGACAAAAGAGAGAAAAAUUAUUAUUAUACUUGAUUAACGACCCUUGUUUGAAAAUCAUCAAUCUUUAUAAAAUACAUAUCUCUUACAAAUUCAAAGAGAUUAAUUUUGGAACAAAAAUUAACCCAAAAUAUGCUCUAAACACUAGAAAAAAAAGAAAAAAAACGCAAAUUUAUUUAUAAUUUCAUAGAAGAUUAUCCAACUUAAACUUUUCAUCAACUGUAAAAUCAGUAAAGUAAUAAUCUUUAGAAUCUCCAUGAAGCCAUUCCUCAAGCAAUUUCAUCGGCAACAAU